AAUUUCUUCCAUUCAACCAACUGGCAGCAUUGAACUCUCAUGCUUAUGUACAACAACAACAACUACUACCAUUCAGCCAGCUAGCUGCUGUGAGCCCUGCUGCCUUCUUGACACAGCAACAUUUGUUGCCGUUCUACCUGCACACUGCGCCUAACGUUGGCACCCUCUUACAACUGCAACAAUUGCUGCCAUUCGACCAACUUGCUUUGACAAACCCAGCAGUGUUCUACCAACAACCCAUCAUUGGUGGUGCCCUCUUUUAGAUUGCUUAUGAGUUAUAGUUCAAUAAUAAAGUUUUUUUUGCUGAUAUUUGUGGCUUCCCAGAAAUAAGAAAGUACAUUUCUAGAUUCUUAUGUGCUUCUAGUCUCCAAAUGUGGUUGAUAGUUAUUUUGCUCUAAGAUCGGCAGUAAUGAGGUAUAAAUACUUGUUGUCGUGUGCUACUCGGUUAAUUGAGCAUUAACACACAUAAACAUUACAAGGAUGGUAUAAUCUCCUAAAAUGUGUACAUUGUUAGGUGUAACCCUAUAGCCAUGCAGAAUGUGCUAUGUUAGGCAUGCCGAUGGAAACGUGUGACACAUACGUUUUGUUAACCUAUUGAUAUUAUAUGUGCCUUUUAUAUUACCAUAUUUUAUUAAAAUACUAAUAUUUAUUACUAGUAAGAUAUAACAUUCUAUCUAGCUUAAAAACUAACCAUAAAUAUUCCAUCAUAACUAGAUUUACCAAACUAAUAUACUAAAUAUACAUAAUAAAUACAAAAUUAACAAUACAAUAUCAAUAUUUAUGAGCUUAAUAAAUUUAAACAUUAUGGUUGGCCGACGAUAAUCAUACUGACUUUCCGUAAUUGCUUGAUUGUAAAUAUACUUAGACUAAUGCCUCUUUGUUCUACAUGGCAAAUAGGGACCACUCUAGGAGACUAGGAUGUUGCUUGAGACGAAGAUGUUAUCAUUGGUGUAGACUAAUUUCUAUCAGCCGCUGACUUCACUAUUGUAACCAUUAUCUCUUGGGUAAAUCAUAUACGAUUAUCUAGCCAAAGGCCCAGAUGAUAAAAACAAUUUUUAAUUGCUAUUUCAGGACAAAUGAAUUAGCAUGGUUCGAAGGAUUGCGACCUUCCCCCCAUGACUUUUAUCGUAUUGUGUUAGUCUAAUCGACAAAACCAAGAUUAGAUAUCAUCGAAGAAGUUGAUAAGCGAAUCUGUGACCACUAUCAGAAUCAGCUGCUUUGCCGAGUGUCUAAAACACUCGACAAAGCCUGAAAAACACUCGGCAAAGGAUUUGCCGAGUGUAACACUCAGCAAAGAAAGCUCGGCGAAGUAUACAUCGGCAACGACUUCUUUGCCGAGUACUUUUUAUCGGGCACUUGGCAAAGAAGCGUCAUUGUCACGACGAUAGGUAAUGCCGACGGAGUCUGUGACGAGUGUCACAGAGUGACGCUCAGCAAAGGCUCACUCUUUGCUGAGUGACCACUGUACAGACACUCGGCAAAGAAGCCCCCGUGGGUCCCUUUAUCAGGGCCUUUGCCGAGCGUAUUAGGUGGCACUCGGCAAAGGCUCCAUCUUUGGUGACUGCCCGCCAGACUAGCAAUCGACAAAGGGAUCAACAGCGGAUCCCUUUGUCAGUUCUUUUGUCGAGUGCUCUAGGAGGCACUCAAUAAAGCUUGUGUUGGGGGCCUUCUUCUUCCGAAGGUCCUCAAAAACGUGACUAACCAUAGGUUUUCAGUAUGACAUAGACUAUUAUAGGAAGCUUUGGCUUUGGGAUGAAGGCGUGUGAUAUGAGGAUACAGCCCAAAGGCAACAUGGAUGGACGUCGAAGCUAUGGCUAAAGGAGUUUCGGCUUGGCAUGUUAGCGAAGAUGAAGGACGAAACCGACCUAAGGGAGAAAAGACUAGUUAGUCCUUGAUAGUUUGCAUUAUGAUUAAGAGCAGAUAUCAGGGGCAUGCAUGUAAUCUUAUCCGGGCUGCGUCCCGUGCCUAUGAAUAGAUGAAUAGUAACACCGUACUGUUCACGCUGGAUUAUAAUCGCUCCUACGUCACUCUCGCGUCUUCACCUUUUGGUAAGCUGAAGGUAUCAAUGUAAUACAAAUAUUGAUGAUGUUUAUUCAUGUUUAUGAAAUGAGAAUAUAAAUAGCUUGCUGAUUCGUAAUCAUUAUUUAUAUUCUUUUGUAUUUCAUGUACCCUUAUUUAGAUGUGUUCACUGAGAUGAUGAAGGUAUGCCCUUCAUGACCUUCGUUCGGAAACCAUUAUAUCCAAAAGGAGAUAAUGCUUCGAAGGACGAAGGUCUCUAAUUAUUGACAAUCAUGUUGUCUUGUUCUUGAUGUAUAGCAUUUGGGAACAAGGACCAACAUUGGCGCCCACCUCCCGUGAACUCAAUCGACCACCUUCGGCAAGCAUCGACUUUCGUAAUGCCGCCGAAGAAGACAAUAGUGCCAGGGGCUGCCCUGCAGCCACUGGACACUAAUCAGGAAACGCUGCGAGAAGCUAGGAUCUAGAAGAGGAAGGCUACUAGCCCAACACCUCAGGAGGAGGAGCUAGAUCAGGAGAUCAGAGAUUUGGAGGCUAUCACCAGCAGGUACAAAGAAAAAGGGAAAAGAUGCUUCAGCUCGUCGAACUUCAGAGAAAGAUCGACAAAGCUGCUGAAGAAAUGCGUCACCUUACCCAGGAUGACCAAGACCGAAGGCCCCAACAUAGGGAGCUUCAUCAAGAAAGCCCAAUUAAUGACGAUGAGUGGUAUGGUGACUUUCAUCGUGGCAAUUUUGCUUUUGAUGAUGCUUCUCCCUUGGCAGCAGAAUUGCAGGCUACCCCGUGGCCGCCAUCAUACAAGCCACCUCAGCUCCCCAUGUAUGACGAGCACUCAGACCCGAAGCAACCAUAUCCUCAUAUGGGGGCAAUACUGCGGUCAUGGCAAAGUCCUUCGUCAUGGCAGUUAGAAGCGUGGCUCAAACAUGGUGCUCUUCUCUUCGGCCAGGGACAAUUACGUCGUGGCAAAAGCUAAAAUACAUACUGGUCACUAGCUUCUAGGGUUUCCAAUCGAAACCAGUUACUGUCCAAACUCUGUUCCAGUGCACACAGGACCAAGAAGAAUACCUCCAAGCGUAUGUCCGAAGGUUCCUGCGAUUGAGAGUUCAGGCGCCUACAGUGCCCAAUGAGAUUGUCAUUGAGGCCAUGAUCAAGGGGUUCAGACCAGGACCAACGGCGCAAUACUUUGCAAGGAAGCCACCACAAACCCUAGAGAAGCCGACGAUGAUUUUCGGCAAAGAAGGCAAGAAGCCUACAGAUACUCUGAGAUGGCCAGGGGCUUCGGAGGAAGAUUUCACCCUAGGCAUGUCAGGUCAAUCCAUAAUACCAGCUCAAGUGACGACAAGGGAAACCAUACCCAAAGGCAGCAACACAGCUCUCAGUCGUCAGGAGCACAACAAAGCUCUUUGAGGCCACCGGCUCCAAGAGGUAGAGGGGGGAGAAGCUUCGGAGGAAGAUAUGGAGAUCAGCCCAGUAAACAGUUUUGUUUGUUCUGCGGUGAAGAUAAGGGGCAUACCACAAGAACGUGCCAAGUUAUGAUUCAGAAGCAGAAAGAAAUUGCUGAAGCUGAAGCACGUUCGAAUCAGCCGAAGCAGGUUCUGCAUACUGCUUCGUGCUACUCUCCCUACGUCCCGGAGUAUGUAGACAAUCAACAGCCUACGACCUUGGUCGCUUCGGCAAGCCAUUCUCAAGCUUCCUGGGCCCAGUUGCCACCACCACCACCGCUAGCACAUGCUCUGGUCCGCAAUCAAUAGCCAGAAGGGCACCACCAUGCUUAGUAAUAGCGCGACCUUCGGGAGGAGUCCGAAGCUCGCACAGUCAACAACAUUGUGCCUAAGUCGAAGCACAUCUAUUAAAGGUGCCACGGUGAUUCAAUUAAAGAAUAUCUUACCCUAAUGUAUCUUAGUUUUUCCGCCAUUUUAUUUUCUUGCAUGAAAAACAAUUCACGAAGGAUUAAUUUCCAAUUUGAUGUAAUAAUACCGUGGUCGCACCAUCGAGUGUGGAGCGCAUCGCCUUAACAAUACUUCCGAAGCUACAAAGACGUUCCUAAGGGAGCGCGGAGUAAGUUCUGAAGCUACAAAGUUGUUCAUAAGGGAGCGCAGAGUAAGUUCCGAAGCUCAAAAGUCGUUCUUAAGUGAAUGCAGAGCCAAGAUGCCACCAAAAUAAAAGGUGAAGAAGCUCAAAAGUCAUUCCUAAGGGGAUGCAGAGCUUAAAUGCCACCGAAAUAGAAGGUGAAGAAGUUCCAAAGUCGUUCCUAAGGGGAUGCAGAGCUUAGCUCCAAAGAUGUUCCUAAGGGGAUGCAGAGCUGAAAUAUAACCUAAGUAAAAAGUGAAGAGACUCAAAAGUCGUUCCUAAGGGGAUGCAGAGUCUGGAUGCAUUUUCGAGUGGGUGUGUUUCUUCGGCAUAAACAUCAUGCUGUAUCAUAUCAUCACAUCAUUUCUCAUAGCAUUACAUCAUACAUCACAUCACAUCAGCAACAGAACUGUGGAGAAGCAAAGAUGCUUCUUUCAAAAUAUUUGAUGAAUGGAACAAUGGGCUGAAGCAGAAAGUGUACCUUCAACAGCUAUAAUUUUACAUACCAAGAAAAAUCUUCGUCGACAAACAAUAUUAUAUAACAGCUACGACAUAAGAAGGGGUGAUUUUUUAUUUGUGAAGCAUGAAAAGAAGGGAAGGUGUUUUUUCACCAAAGGCUAAAAAACAGGUAAGUACAUACAUUUCAUGCAUCACAAAGAAAUAUAUUACAUUAAUAUACAAACAAAUGUUCGAUGUUCGACUCAUACACGAAUAUUACAUUUCUUAGUACACAAGAAUUUAGUCUUCUUUCAAUAUUUUCUCGGUAGCUUCAUGUAGGAGUUUGUUGACAGCUUCAUCAACGGCUUCUUCGGCAAUCCUUAUCGUUUCUAAUGCCCCCCUCAUGGCCGGAUCGGCCUCGGGAUCAUAUGGCUCAGGCGGUGGUGAAAAAUCAGCUGUAAUAAAGAACAAGUUGUUAAUAUCAAAGCCAGAAACAAAUACUGAAGCUAAAAUUCAGUAAUAAUACCUAUACGCCUUGCGCGCUCAGCAACCUCUUGGCUCGCUUAGCUUAUUCUCGAGCAUCAUGGGAUUCUUUUUCAUUUGUCUUUAUAGCUUCAUCGGCUAUCUCACGGCCACCUUUCAUCCAAACAUUGGAAUAAAACUUCUCGCCCAUCAAAGUAGCUUCGGCCGAAGGCUCCUUCAUGUCGUCUAUGGAGAAGACGGCUUCCGCCUGGGCUGCAGUUUUAACAUGUUCACAGCCAGUUUUCUCCAAAACUGCUGCAACCCCUCGGGCACCGGCGAAGGCACAAAAAUCCUCGCGUUCGCUAAGUAUUUCCUCAAAAGCUUCAACUUCUUCGCAAAUCCAUUGAACGACUCCUUUUGGAUCGCCUCGAAUAAAUUUUUGCUCCGAUGAGUAUGCACCCACCUUUGCAAAACUGUCUUUCAGUUUCUUUGCAUAGUCCAUGGAUACUUCGUAGCAUUUCUCUCUGGAACCCCGAAGUUCUUCAACAUUCUUCUCAAGCCUGGAGCUUGUCCAUUCACUUAUAUCUUACUUUGCCUUAGCAAGUUCAAUAUUUUCGCUCAUUUCGGCAAGUUUUUUGUGAAGGUCUUCGACUUCGGCUUGGUGAGCUUCGGAUUGUGCAUUAAGUUUUGCUUCGUUGCUCUUCAGUUUAUCCACCAAGGAAAGCAGUAUUUUAUCUUUUUCAAGCGCCUCGUUCCUUAAUGUAAUAACUUAUGACCGAAGGUUCCCAAGGGCUAUUUGGCAGCUUUCAUCUUCUGCAUUCUUUUGUGCCCUUAAAGCCUUGCUUAGGAUUAAUGCCUACAAAAAAUGAAGGAUCAGCACACAACAAUAAGAAAAGAUACAAAAAGUAAUCUGCUUAUAAGCUAAAAUGUCCUCACCAUCAGACUGUUAUAAGCAAGGAUGUCUGCAAGGUCAUCUUUCGACAUUGCAGACAACCCAAGCUCUAGCUUCGGGAAACCUAUAUUUUUUGCCAUCUCCCGACAAACAAAUAUUUUCUUGUUGUCUGGAAGGCAAUACAAAAAAUCAUCUUCGUCAGUGCCAUUAAACAUGAGGGAUCCUGGGGGAUACUUCAGAUCCUUAGCAAAUUGCCUAGCUUCGGCAACCUGCUCCUCUGAUAGUUUUUCCCUACCGCGUGACACACUAUAAAUUCCGAUCCCUCAGUAGAAGCUUCAACGGCAAGGAAUUCAGAUUCUUUGCUGGUUCUCUCUUUUCCUAACGGUAACGGAGCUUUUUCAGCAUCCAAAGGUCCUUUUUCAGCAUCCUUUUCAAUAAGCUCUGCAGGCCCUAUUUCUGCGGGAACUGAGGGCCCAGCUUCAGCUUCAACCCAAGUUAUGAUAGCUUCGGCAGUUUCCUUUGUACUUUUCUUACCCAUGCUAGGUACUUCUGUAGAGGCAGGAGUUAGUACUUUUGUCGAUUCCAUGACAGCAUCCAGUACACUAGCCAUUCUCCUCCUUUUUGGAGUUAUCAAAGUAGUUUUUUGAAUCUUCGGCAAUUCUGCCUCUGGCCGUGAAAAAGUUUUUGGCUGCUCCGCUGCUAUCUUCAGAAUUGGCUCUUCGGCUGAUCCCAAUAUGGCUUCGGCAGUAGCGAGAUGAUUUUGCUCAGCUGCAGAAGAAGACCCUUCAACAGGCUUUGACACUUUGGCCGUCUCAGAGUGCCUGGGCCGGUGUGUCAAGACUUUGCCAUUUUUCCCUUCGGCGUGGCAGAGAUUGCCGAAGCAGUAGCCUUCCUUUUCUUUCCCUGCUUUCGCGAGGGAUAACAAUAGUCUGGGUACACAAAACCAAUUACAUCAAAAACCCUAUUUAAUCUCUUCUUGCCUCGUCCUCCGAAGGCCAAUGUCAUGGCAUCGUCUUCGGCCCUUGUGUAGGCCCCAAGCAAUUCGUCACUAGUAGCCUCAAUGCAAUCCAACCAGUCAUCGUUCGGCUCAUCGAACUGAUCUCUGUAUCUGAAGGUGUAUUUCAGAUAAACUAAACUAACUUGACUGGACCCGGCCGCAGCUUCCUUCGACAUCUCCCAGCCACUUCCAAGAGGCCACACUCUGUAAGCAAUAUGCUCCUAGACUAAGUCCCUAGUGCCAAUAUAAGUACAUAAAGUGUUAAAGUCCGUAUGGCAUGCUUGAAUAUCAUGUCCAUGGACAGUGGUUGGCCUCCUAAUGCCGAAGCGAGACCAGAUAGGGCAUUGAAUGAUCCCCUUUAUAUCUUCUCUUUCAACUAAGUUGUUCUUCACAUAAAACCACUCUUGCAUCCAGGCUCCUGGCCACCUCUUCCAAAAUGUUGGGACGGGAUAGCUCACACCAGAGCGAGGCAUGAAGCCGUAACAACGAAAAUUAUUAUGAUAUUGUUCUAUGCCAGUAGCCUUUGUCUCAUAGGACAGGUCAUGCAUGUUGCAGAAGCAUUUUGCAUUCGGCUCUAAACCCUGGCCCAAAUGAAAACUCCCAUUCUGAUGAUAUCUUCGGGGGUAAUUUGAUGAAGGUAAAUUUCAAAAGUCUUCAAAACUUCAACUAAAAAUUUGUUCAGGGAGAAUCGAAGCCCUGCUUUCAUAGAACUCCUGUAGACAACAACUUCGUCUGCUUCGGGCAUAGGGGCACUGCUAUCUCCUCUGGCCCUCAUGAUAGAAAUAUCGCGGAAGUAUCUUCCUUUCAUUGCAUCAAUCUGACUCUGUUUGAUGGUUGAUUUAGCAAAGAUGGUAUGACUCGGUCGCCAGGGCUGAUCUUCGACAUCUUCGUUUCCACUUUCUAAGUCAAAACUUUCACUAUCGCUGGAAUCUUCAGACAACCCAACCAACAUCUCAUUGGUGAUCUUCUUCAUAUUUGUCUUCUCCAUAGCUUCAUAAAACCCGGCCAAUGCAGGGUCAGCAAUCUUCUUCUCUUUAGCCAUUUAGACAACGAUUGCACGAUUGUCGAAGCUUAAAACUCAAUCAAAACUCGACAGAGCAAGAGAAUUCAGAAUGUCUAAAAUAGCGCAAGCAACUGAAAUAGCACAGCAAAUGCUGCCAAUGCGAGUUUCUAUUUAUAUGCCUCACGAUUUGGUGGGCCAUACAUGUCAGUGGCUUUCGCUAUUCUAGCGAAGGGAAGGUGUUUUUUCGGAUCUUCGGUUAAAGGCCUUCGUUCACGUCACAGUCUAAAUUUGUUACAAAGAAACAAAUUAAUACUACGAGGGGCUACUGUUGGGGGCCUUCCUUUUCCGAAGGUCCUCAAAAACGUGGCUAACCAUAUGUUUUCAGUAUGACAUAGACUAUUAUAGGAAGCUUCGGCUUUGGGAUGAAGGCGUGUGAUAUGAGGAUACAACCCGAAUGCAACAUGGAUGGACGUCGAAGCUAUGGCUAAAGGAGCUUCAGCUUGGCAUGUUAGCGAAGAUGAAGGACGAAACCGACCUAAGGGAGAAAAGACUACUUAGUCCUUGAUAGUUUGCAUUAUGAUUAAGAGUAGAUGUCAGGGGCAUGAAUGUAAUCUUAUCCGGGCUAUGUCCCGUGCCUAUAAAUAGAUGAGAAGUAACACCGUACUGUUCACGCUGGAUUGUAAUCGCUCCUACAUCACUCUCGCAUCUUCACCUUUUGGCAAGCCGAAGGUAUCAAUGUAAUACAAAUAUUGAUUAUGUUUAUUCAUGCUUAUGAAAUGAGAAUAUAAAUAGCUUGCUGAUUCAUAACCAUUAUUUAUAUUCUUUUGUAUUUCAUGUACCCUUAUUUAUAUGUGUUCACUGAGAUGAUGAAGGUAUGCCCUUCAUGACCUUCGUCCGGAAACCAUUAUAUCCAAAAGGAGAUAAUGCUUCGAAGGACGAAGGUCUCUAAUUAUUGACAAUCGUGUUGUCUUGUUCUUGAUGUAUAGCAUUUGGGAAUAAGGACCAAUAGCUUGCUUCUUUGCCGAGUGCCAAGGCCACAGCACUCGGCAAAGAGUCUUUACCGGUGCGCAGGUGUGCCUUCUUUGCCGAGUGCUAUGACAUUGACACUCGGCAAAGUAUCUCUUUGUCGAGUGUAACACUCGACAAAGUGACCAGAUUAUCCCUUUUUAUUUGUUUUUGCUAUUCCAUCCAAACAAAUAAAAGAUAUAUCGCAUAAUCAUCACAUAUACAUCAUAGAUAUCACAUAAUCAUCGCAUACAUAAUAGAGACUGCAUAUUUCACAAAAAACACAAAUCUCACAAGUUUUUCUCAAACAUGUCCAUGUUCAUACCAAGAUUCACUAACAUAAGUAUCACACAACUCUAAAACAUAAGUUUUUCACAAACAUAAGUUUAGGACAAGUUUAUCACACAAGCUAAGAGAAGAUCAUGAGCGAGGUGGGCGGCUGGACUGGUGCGGCGACGGGCUGGGCGAUCCACGAGGGUUGUUGGAUGCCGCCCUAGAUUGUCCCUGCACAGAGAAGAGAUUGCCUGUGUUAUACUAGAUAAAUAUACAUCAUGCAGGACUAGAAUUUUGAUACUCAUAGGAGUAUGGAACUGAGCAGGGUCAACUGGAGGGAACAACGGAGGUGGUGGAGCAAAACCCUGUGCGGUGCCAAGGCUCUGCAUGUACUGGAACAUCUCUGCCAUCCUCUGUUGAUUUUCCAUGUGGGCCUCCCGCUCCGCCAUCAUCCUCGCCUCCAUAUCCUACCGUUCCCUCCUCUCUUCUUCUAGCUAGGCAUAUAAUAUUUCAACCCAGUGUUAUAAUAACUCAAAGAGAAGGUAUAUAACUCAAGGAAAGACGAGUUACAGAAGCACUAACCUGGAGUUGUUGUAUCUCAUGAUGUGAGUUGUCCUGUCGAGGUCGUAUGGCUGGGCUUGAGCUCGUGGUCCUUGCUCGCACCUGAGACAGAGUGGGAGUGGACAACGAGUCGAUUGUCCCGUCGGCAAUCCAGUACCUCCCAUGCCUCUUGCCUCCUCUGACCCUCAUGAGAACAUCUCCGUCGAUUUCCUUGGUCCUCGGAUCGUAAUCUGGCCCAUGGACCUCAUGUGACAUGGCAGUGUACUCACUUAGGCGGUUGUAGACGGCGGAGUUGCUAUAUGCCUCGGGCCCGUCAUCCGGGUUGUAGGUGACAUCGGACGUCGCCUUUCCCUUGUGGGCCAUAGCAUAAACCGAGAAGAUGGAGCAUGGCUGGCCACCAUGUAACACCAAAUGCAAUAAAAUCAAUGAGAUAGUUAGAAAUAAUAUCUAAACCAGUGCUAUAUACCUAAAUAAAAAGAGGGCGUACCCAUGCUUCUACAUAUUUCCAGAGGUUGCGACUGCCUUGGUGGUGGGAGGGACCUUACAUCAUCAAAUGUCGUUCCAUGCUAGCGUUGUGCGCCUCGUCCCACUUAGGCGAGCACCACCUAUCCACCAUCUGCUCCUAGCACUGAGGAUGCGCGGCGCACCAAUAAGGAAUCAUCUACAAACUAAAACAAGUACAUUGCAUAUCAGAAGAUAAAAUUAAGCAAUUUUUUUCACGAAUAUUAAAGUGAUGUAUUUACCUGCAAGUAUUGGUCCCUAGUCAACGACAUGGUUCGGGCCUCUUGUUUGGUCACCUUCUCUCUAAGGACGGAGCCAUGGUAGAUGAUGAUGACCUAGAUUCGUGCAUCGUAGUGCAUGUCCACGACGAGCUUCUUACAGCUUGUGGUGGCCACCACAUUUGCCCUGGCCUCGUAUCCAGCCUCGCAUCUGAAGAAAUCCUACAUACAAAGGCGAUAUAUCCAUACAUUAUUUCAAGUAUGUGCAACAAAUGCGACAUAUUUUACAAUAUAGUAAGACUUACUCAUAGCUUUUGCUUCACCCGCUCUGCCAUGUUGUUAAAUUCCCUAUCGUCCUAGUCUACUGCAUCAGGGGUGACGACGUAGUGGUCGAAGGUGUAGGCAGUAGGUUGGGCCCACCACUCCAGCGUACUCAACCAGUCCAGGGAAGUGUUCCCUACACAUAAGGCCAAGGAUGCCAUUGGGUUGUGGUCGUGACUCCCUGCAUUCUCCACAACCUUUCAAGACCUGUCCAAGUGAUAAAUAAAAAGUAUUAGUUUAUAUUAUGAAUUUGAACACAUAAUAUGAACAAACAGUGAGAACAUAAAAUUACAUGUCUCUCCCCAUCCUUCUGAAUCAGCGACCGCCUAUCUCGAAGUAUGGGACGCUGAGGGAGACUCGUGGGACCUCGCUGGUAGACGUUCCUCGAAUCUGAAGCACCAGAACCUGAGGCGUCUUGCUGAGCGUCGUCGUCGUCCUACUGUGUCGCAUCGAUAACGACCUGCUGCUGGACGUCGUCAUCCUGUUGUGCCUUCUUCGCCUUCCUACGGGUGCUCCUCCUCCCCCUCCUUGUCCUCAUCCCACCGCCCACCAUAUUUGUCCAACAACCUGUAAUUAAGGGUAAGCAAAUAAGCACAUAUAAAAAAGUUUAUUUACAAAUAGGCGUGAAAUAAAAAAAAUAGCAUUACAUCGUUUAAAAAAAUCUUCAUAUGUGUCGGGGUUAGCCAGAUCAUAAGUGUCAUCAUCACAAUCAACCAUUUCAUAGUCAACACCAUCUGAAGGCGCAAGUUCUUCAUUAAUGUCAUUGCCUUCAAGUAAUUCUAAGUCAUUCUCAUUUUGCACCUCAUCAACAACCAUUUCAAUAUCUACUUCCAUUCCGAUAGCUUCGGUUAAGUCUAUCUCAAAUCACCCUUCUAGCCCAUAUUCUUGGAAGAACUCUCCAUCAUAUGUAUCCGGGUCUAAGUUAUAAUCUUCAUCAUUUGGAACAGGUAAUUUACCGUGCAGUGAUACCUUAUACACAACAUCCCAACCCAUCCAUGCCUCAUAUAGGAGAUGAAGAAUCAAAUGCUGCAUUGGAUUGAAGAAGUCGAGUGGAAAUAUCUUCUCAAGCUUACACAAAAACACGGGUGUCAAUCUUUCCAAGUCUGCAAUCACGGACCAAGAUAACUCUUUCACACAAAGCUGGCAGAAUAAAUAGCUGAACUUUGUAAGCGCUAGCCAUACAUGCUCAGGGACAUAGCCUCGAACCAUCGUCGGAAGAAUCUGUUCAAUCCAUAAGUGGAAGUCAUGACUCUUCAUCCCUAAGACUCACAGAGUAGAUAAGUUCACCCCCCUACUUAGGUUAGCUGCAUACCCAUCAGGAAACAUCAACAUCUUGAUCCACUAAAGUACUUCCUUCCUCUGGGCCCUACUUAGGACGAAAUCGGCCUUAGACCUUCUCCAUGUCUUUCCACCACUAGGCGGCUUCAUUUCUUGGUUUGGUCUAUCACAUAACGCUGUCAGAUCCACUCUUGUCUUUACAUUAUCCUUUGACUUAUCAGGAAUGUCCAUAAUUGUUGCCCAAAGUGCCUCGGCGACAUUCUUUUCAGUGUACAUCAAGUCAAUGUUGUGUGGAAGGAGUGGGUCAUCAUAAUAGGGGAGCCGAGUCAAGCCCGACUUAUGUGUCCACAUAUGCUGCUCACCAUAUCCCACAAAUACACCUUCUGGAUUGGCCACGAGCCCAUCUAUUUGUUGACGAAUUUCGGCACCAGUCAUCAUUGCAGGUGGUUGGUCUGUCACUACAACACCUUUCGUAAAGUUAUUGAUGUCUAGGCGGAAUGGAUGGUUAGGAGGGAGAAAUUGUUGAUGUUUAUCGAACAACGAAUAUUUGCCACCCUUUUUCAACCAAAUGAACUUAAGAGCUUCCUUACAAACUAGGCAUGGGAACUUACUGUGAACACAAUAGACACAGAAUAGCCCAUACGCCGGUAAGUCAUGCAUGGCGUACUAGUACCAAACAUGCAUUUUGAAGUUUUUCUUCGUAGCUCGGUUAUACGUCCAUACCCCUUCCUCCCAAGCAUGUACGAUUCAUCAAUCAAAGGCUCCAUGUACACGCCCAUUUUAUUCCCCGGGUGUCCGAGAAUUAUCAACGACACAAAUAUGUUCUGCCUUUAAAAGCAUACACCGGGGGGAGAUUGAUUGGGAUAACAAACACGGGCCAACAUGUGUAUGGGGCAGCGCUCAUUCCAUAGGGAUUGAACCCAUCUGUGGCCAGCGCAACACGUACAUUAUGAGCCUCUUCAGCUUUCUCGCGGUAAAUGGCAUCAAAGUGUUUCCAUGCUUCACCAUCGGAUGUGUGCACCAUCUUAUCAUGAUUGUAUCGUUUGCCAUUUUUGUGCCAUGUCAUCUGUUUCGCGGAUUCCUCAGUCAUGUAUAGACGCUGGAUCCUCGGUGUGAACGGAAGGUGGUGUAGGAUUGUCACGGGGAUGUCGAGCUGCCUAUCAUGUCCAUCACCAAAGUCUACCUCCAUGAACCUAGACGAUUUACACUUCGGACAGUACUUUGCUUCCGUGUAUUCUUUCCUAAAUAGCACGCAGUCCUUCGGACAAGCAUGUAUCUGCUCAUAUGUCAUCUUGAGUGCACGGAGGAGUUUCUGUGUGUUGGGGACCUUCGGCAUCCGAAGGUCCUCAAAAACGGGAUUUAACAGUAUUUCUGGAAGUAUAAUGUGUGAGCAGGUACCUUCAGACUCAAGUCGGUAUCACGGCAGGAGAAGACCCGGAUAAUACGAAGGUCUUGAUACAACGCCGAAGAUGUUAGCAGGAAAGCUUCGGCAUGGUUGCAGAAAAUGAAACCGACUUAAAGAUGAAAAGGCUAUUCAGACCUCGAUAGAUUACUAUAGAAUUAUUAUCAAAUGUAAAGGGCAUGAAUGUAAUUUUGUAUGGGCUGUGUCCCGUGCCUAUAAAUAGGUGAACAGAACCCCCGUACUGUUCACGCUGACUUGGCAUUCGCUUUUUGCGUCACGCUUGUACUGUCAUCUCCUUCCGAUUGAAGGUACACUUGUAAUUCAACGAUAUUUCUGUUUAUGUCUGAUAAUAAUAUAUAAUUGUUCAUAUUGUCUUUUAUGUUCUUUACAUUUCAUUCUUCGUCAUUGCUUAAUGAAUUUAUGAAGGUACGUCCUUCAUAACCUUCGUCCGUAAACCAUUAUAUCCUAAGGGAAAUAAUGUUUCGGAGGGCGAAGGACUUUAACGAUUAACAUUUUCUAUGUUGCCUUGUUCUUAACUCAUAGCACUUGAGAACAAGUCCCCAACAUUGGCGCCCACCUCCGGUGAACUCACUUCCACUCUUUGAAGUUUUUUGAACACCUUCGGCGAUCAUAAAUCUUCGUUAUGGCGCCGAAGAAAGCUUCAGCGACUGGGGCUGCAGCUCUGCAACCACUGGACCACAAUCAGGAGACAGUUUCCCUGCGGGAGGCCCGAAGCCAGAAAAGGAAGGCUGUCAGUCCGACACCACCAGAGGACGAGAUAGAUCAAGAAAUCAGAGAUAUGGAGAUGCUUCAUCAACAAGUACAGAGGAAGAAAGAAAAGAUGGCCAGGCUAGCUGAACUGCAGAGGCAGAUAGACGAAGCCUCUGAAGAAGUUCGUCAUCUUGCUCAGGAUGAGCAACACCGAAGGCCUCAGCACCAAGACCUUCAUCAGGAGGGUUUUCCCAACGAAGAUGACUGGUAUGACAAUUUCCAUCAUGGGAAUUUUGUUUUUGAUGAUGCUUCUCCUCUGUCCGCUGAGCUGCAGGCUACACCUUGGCCUCCGUCCUACAAGCCGCCUCAGCUUCCCGUAUUCGAUGGUCACUCAGACCCGAAGCAGUUUUUGAUGAGCUACGAAGCAACAGUAUCUUCGUAUGGUGGCAAUGCUUCAGUCAUGGCCAAAUCUUUCGUUAUGGCUGUCAGAAGUGUUGCUCAAACCUGGUAUUCCUCCCUUCGACCAGGAACGAUCACUUCAUGGCAGAAGCUGAAGGACUUGUUGUUAACUAGCUUUCAAGGAUUUCAGACGAAGCCGGUCACUGCUCAGGCUCUGUUCCAGUGCACCCAGGAUCACGAAGAAUACCUUCAGGCGUAUGUCCGAAGGUUCUUGCGUUUGAGGGCACAGGCACCAACGGUGCCCAAUGAAAUUGUCAUCGAGGCCAUGAUCAAGGGGCUUCGGCCAGGACCGUCAGCUCAGUACUUCGCCAGGAAGCCUCCUCAAACUUUGGAGAAGCUGCUCCAGAAGAUGGACGAGUACAUUCGGGCCGAUAAUGAUUUUCGCCAAAGAAGGGAGGAGGCUUUCAGGUUUUCUGAAAUGACCAGGGGCUUCGGAGGGAGGUUCUACCCGAGGCACGUGAGAUCAAUUCAUAACUCUACACAAAAAUGAUGAUAGAGGAAGCCAACAGCAAAGGCCACAAUGCUCCUCACAGGCUUCGGGGCAACAGCAAAGCUCCUUCCGACCACCAGCUCCAAGAGGCAGAGGCGCCAGGGGCUUUGGAGGAAGAUUUGGAGAUCAACCGAGAAGAAUCUUUUGCUUAUUCUGCGGUGAGAACAAAGGCCAUACUACCAGGAUGUGCCAUGUUACUAUUCAGAAGCAAAAGGAAAUAGCUGAAGCCGCAGCACAACAAGCUCAGCCGAAGCAGGUCAUGCAUACAACUUCGUAUCAUUCGCCCUACAUCCCAGAAUAUGUGGGCAACCAUCCUGCAGUUUCUGUUGCUUCGGCAAGUCAGCCUCAAGCUUCCUGGCAACAGCCUCCGCCUCCACCUCCGUUGCAACAAGGCCAGCAACCAGAAGGGAGCCAGUAUGCUCCACACCAGAGGGACUUCAGAGAGCAGUCCGAAGCUCGUACAGUCAAUAGCACUGUGCCAGAGUCAAAGCACAUCUAUUGACGAAUAUCCUACCUUAAUAGCAAUCUUUUUCAUUCAGUUUUAUUUUCUGUAAUAAAGGACAUUGUUUAGGUUUCAUGUAAUUAGUUUCGUUGAUUCCUACAAGAAAAAUAUGUUUUCCUCACAGGCUUAAAUUGAUUGAAGUUCAAAGACUUGUGAUAAAAAAAAGGACCUUCGAACUAUCGAAAAUUCUUCGAAGCAACAAAAAGUCGUUCUAAGGAACGCAGAGUAAGUUUGCCGAAGUCACAAAAAGUCGUUCCAAAGGGAGCGCAGUGUAAGUUUUCUGCUCCAAAGUCGUUCCAAAGGGAAUGCAGAGCAUACAGCGAAAAGUCAACGCUGAUACCGCCUAAGUAAAAGGCGAAGCGCGAAAAGUCAACGCGAAUACCGCUGAAAGUAAAAGGCGAAGAAGCUCCUAAGGGAGGCUUACAGCGAAAAAUAAACGCUGAUUCCGCUGAAGUAAAAGGCGAAGAAGCUCCUAAGGGAGGCUUAUAAAAGAUGUGUUUUAUUGCAGGGAUGCGUAUGUAUCUUCGGAAUAAACGUCAUCUCACAUAACAUAACAUCAUCGCAUCAUUUCGCAUAGCAUAAGCAUCAUACAUCAUUUUGCACAUGGCACAAGAGGUGGACACAUUAUUAAUCUACAGAAGAACGCUUUGAAAAAAGGGAGAAAUCAAAGUCACAAAAAGAUACAUCAUUGAUCUUCGGAAGUGUAUCUUCGGAAGUGUAGCUUCGGAAAAUAUCUUCACGAAGCCUGGAUAUUAAUCAUCAGAACAUUGGAUAUUGUUGUGACAAAGAAAAAUUCUUCUUCACGAAGCAUGAAAAGAAGGGAAGGUGUUUUUUCGUCAAAGACUCAAAAGUGGUACGUGUAAAGUUUCAUGCAUCGUAAAGAAUUGACUAACAAAAAUAGGUAUAUUACAUUUGGGGUUACAAAAUGUUACAGUAUAUUACAUUUCAGAAAGUUUUCACAAAAAUACUUAAUCUUCUCUCAAAACGACUUCUGCAGCCUCGUUCAGGAGCCGAUUGACGACUUCGUCCAUAAUAUCUUCAGCCAUCUUUUUAAUUUCGUCGUCUCCUUUCGGCUGAGGGCCCGAAGACGCUUUAGCACGAUCUGAAGUAAGACAGCAUGCGGCUACAUUGCUAUUACAAAUCGCAAACAAAUCUUAAAGCCUAAGAUUACAACACGAUAAAAACUAUUAGUUAAUACCUAAUUGACCUUCGGCCUCUGCGCUCUUUUCAGCAGCCUCAGCCACUUCUCUAGCAUCGUGAAUGCCCUUUUCACUUCUUCGAAUAAUUUCUCCGGCCAUUUCUCAGCCACCAUUAUCCCAGAUAUCGGUAAAACAUUUUCCACCAAUUAUACUAGCUUCGGCCGAAGGAUCUCUUGCAUCUUCAAAGGGCAAAGCAGCUUCGGAUUGUGCUAAAAUUUUUACAUGUUCGCAGCCCUUCUUCUCUAAGAUGGUGGCAAUCCCUCUGGCACCAGAGAAGGCACAUAUAUCUCCUCGGCUAUUUAAAAUUUCUUCGAAGGCUUCAGCUUCGUGGUCGAUCCAUUCGAUGACACCUUCGGGAUUGCUUCUCGAAAAGUUUUCCUCACUUGAGAAUGCGCCGACCUUGGCGAAGCUAGCCUUUAGCUUCUUAACACAAUCUAUAGAUUUAUUAUAGCAUCUCUUUUUGGACGAACGAAGCUCUUCAACAGUCACUUCUAGGUGAUCUGCCCAUUGAUCGCUGAGUUCACGCUUUGUUUCUUCAAGUAUGCGUUCUUCCUUGGCUCUGGCCAGUUGUUUCCGAAGAUCUUCAAUUUCGCGCUUCUGAGCUUCAGCUUGACCUUUAAAAGCAGCUUCGUCUUCCUUUAUUUUAUUUAUCAAUGAGUAUAAUAUUUUAUCUUUUUCGAGACCUUCGUUCCUCAGUUCAAUUACUUCGGAACGAAGGUUGCUCAGGGCUAUAGUACACCCUUCGUCUUCAGCAUCUUUCUGUGCCCUGAGGGCAUUGCUAAGUAUCAGGCCCUGCAAAGAGAAAUAUGUGUGCGUCAAUAGGUUUAAACAAACGAAAAAUACAAGGAUUUCAUUUCUCGCACCUUUAAGCUAUUGUAAGCCAGGCUGUCGGCCAGAUCGUUCUUCGACAGCACCGAGAGCCCGUCUUCUAAAGUUGGGAAUCCGAAGCUCUUGCUCAUCUCCCGACAGACAGAAAUUUCCUUGCUAUCGGGGAGACAAUACAAGAAGUCUUCUUCUCCACUGCCAUUGAAUAUUAACGCCCCCUUUGGAUAUUUCAGUUUUUGGGCGUAGUGCUGGGCCUCUUGCUCUUCUUUUUCUGAUAGUUUUUUCCCCGAAGCAUGGCGAACAAUAUAAUCACGAACUUUGGGGGAUGCUUCGGGGGCAAUGGCACCGGUUUCUUCAACAAAAGUUGGCUUUGUUAUUUUUUCUGCCUCACUUUCCAAGGAUUUUAUCUUUGCAGGCUCUGAGGGCCCAGCUUCGGCUUUAGUCUCUUGCCCUGAAGCUUUAGAUCCAGAAAUUUCAGUUGUUUCAGGAAUGACAGCAGCCCUCUUCGGAGGUGUGCUUGAAGAUUUGAUCGUUUCCAGUACAUCUAGCACAUUAGCCAUUCUCUUUCUUUUCGGAGUCACUGCUGGCACUUUCACUAUCUCAAUGUUUGCUGCAGGACUCAAAACUUCUGAUGUUUUGGAUCCCUCAGUUGAUUCUUUUACCUUUUCCAUUUUUUCUGUGGACGGCGCUUCGGCUUUCUCUUUCGUUUCUGAUAACAAAAUUUUUGAUUGUUCCAAUUCUAUCUUUGUUGGCACUUCGGCCGUUUCUGCGACUUCUGGCAGCAAGGUUGGCUCGGUUGGUUUUUCAGCUUCGGUGGCCGAAGAAGUUUCUCCGGUAAACUCAGGCACCGAAGCUGGUUCAAUAUAGCGCGGCCGAUGCGUAAGGACCUUUAUCUUCUUUCUUUUCGGUUCUGGCUCGCUAGGAGCAGUUGCAGCUUCUUCUUUUGCAGAGGUUGUGUUUUUUCUCUUCUGCCUUCGAAUGGGAUAGCAAUAGUCAGGGUAGACAAACCCGAUUGCAUCAAAUACCCGAUUCAGCCUCUUCUUUUUUCGGCCUCCGAAGGCUGCUGACAUUGCAGUAUCUUCGGCCUUCGAAUAGGUCCCAAGCAGCUCAUCACUUAAAUUUUCAAUGCUUUUUAACCAGUCAUCAUCUGGUUCAACGAAUUUAUCUCCAAACUUAAAAGUGUACUUCAACCUGAUAAGUCCACCUUCGUCGGCCUCUUUUAUGGUUUCUUGUGGCAUUUCCCAUUUCUCCGCAAGUGGCCAUACCCUGAAGGCGAUAUGCUCUUGUACUAAGUCCCUCGUUCCAAUAAAAGAACAGAUAACACCGAAGGCCCUCUGGCAUUCUUCGGCAGCCUCACUCAUUUCAACCUUCGGCCUCCGAAGGCCGAAGCUUUGCCAAAUAGGGCGCAUAAUUAUACCUUUGAUAUCUUCUCGCGCUGUCAGAUCAUUCUUCACAUAAAACCAUUCUGUCAUCCAGUCGCCGGGCCAUCUCUUCCGAAAGGUCGGCACGGGACAGCUUGACCCGGACCGAGAAACGAAAUUGUAGCAGCCAAAAUUAUUGUGAUACUGUUCCUUACCCCAAGGUUUUGUUUCGUAUGAUAAUUCGUGUAUAUUGCAGAAACUUUUUGCAUCAGGCUUCAGACCUUGGCUUCUCACGGCCCACACGAAGAUAUUUAGCCUUAUAAUUGCCUCAGGGGUAAGUUGAUGGAGAUAGACUUCGAAUAUUUUCAGUACCUCCACAACGAAGCUGCUCAAGGGAAAUCGCAGUCCAGCUUUCAAAAAGCUUCGGUACACUACGACUUCAUUCUCUUCAGGGUGUGGGCAAGUUUUUUCCCCUUCGUCGGCCCUCACAAUGGACAAAUCCCGGAAAUACCUUCCUCUCAUGUUGACAAGAUGAUUCUCUUUGAUAGUUGAUUUACCAUAAACUGAAUGGCUUGGUCGCCAGGGACGAUCUUCGGAGUCCUCACCACCACUGUCCACAUCAUAGCUGUCACUGUCACCAGUAUCUUCAGACAAACCUUCCAGAAUCUCCUUGGUAAUUUUUUCUGUAUUGGUCUUUGACAUCGCUAUAAGAAACCCCAAGUUUUUCUCUUCGUCAAGGCUCAGCUUCAUCUCAGCAACAGUCUUCUUAUCUUCAGACAUCUUCGGAGACGCUAAAAAACUAUUUUCAAAGCCGAAGCUUCAAAACUAAAAGCUUAGCAAAUCGCAGUGCACAAGAGCUAAAAAUUGAGUGAGCGGGAGUAGUUGGCCAGAAAGCGUGUCAAAUGAGUUUGCGGUAUGGCCGUAUUUAUACGCCAAGAGCGUUGAAAAUUCAAAGACCCCGCUUGUCAGUGAAUGUUGCUAUUCUAGCAAAGGGAAGGUGUUUUUUCGGACCUUCGGCGUAAAGCCUUCGUCCAUGUCGCAAUCUAAAUUCGUUAUUUUAAAACAAAUUAAUAUUGCGAGGGGCUACUGUUGGGGACCUUCGGCAUCCGAAGGUCCUCAAAAACGGGAUUUAACAGUAUUUCUGGAAGUAUAAUGUGUGAGCAGGUACCUUCGGACUCAAGUCGGUAUCACGGCAGGAGAAGACCCGGAUAAUACGAAGGUCUUGAUACAACGCCGAAGAUGUUAGCAGGAAAGCUUCGGCAUGGUUGCAGAAAAUAAAACCGACUUAAAGAUGAAAAGGCUAUUCAGACCUCGAUAGAUUAUAUAGAAUUAUUAUCAAAUGUAAAGGGCAUGAAUGUAAUUUUGUAUGGGCUGUGUCCCGUGCCUAUAAAUAGGUGAACAGAACCCCCGUACUGUUCACGCUGACUUGGCAUUCGCUUUUUGCGUCACGCUUGUACUGUCAUCUCCUUCCGAUUGAAGGUACACUUGUAAUUCAACGAUAUUUCUAUUUAUGUCUGAUAAUAAUAUAUAAUUGUUCAUAUUGUCUUUUAUAUUCUUUACAUUUCAUUCUUCGUCAUUGCUUAAUGAAUUUAUGAAGGUACGUCCUUCAUAACCUUCGUCCGUAAACCAUUAUAUCCUAAGGGAAAUAAUGUUUCGGAGGGCGAAGGACUUUAACGAUUAACAUUUUCUAUGUUGCCUUGUUCUUAACUCAUAGCACUUGAGAACAAGUCCCCAACACUGUGCCUCAUACAUGCUCUUUGGUAGAACGUGAUCCUCCGGAAGCAGGCUACCAAUAACUGUCAACAAGCAAUCGAAUGCGUCUUGACUCAUGUUAUACUGCGACUUGAACGCUAUUACAUGCCCAAUGGCAUCCAGUUGAGAAACCUUUGUCUGGCUGUGAAGGGGCUUCUGUGCCACGUCAAACAUGUCGUAGAACGCCUUUGCAAUCGGCUCUAGCUCGUCCUCCAUACAUCCUCCGACGAACUAUGCCUCAUGAUAGUCGUUCAACAUAUCUGCUACCCCCGCAUCAGCAUCAUAAUCCUCGACGUGUUGUCUCUGAAAGGGAAAUAAGCUUACACCUUUUCCUAAAUGAUUUUGGUGGUUGAAUUGCCCAACACAAAUAAUUGGACUAACUAGUUUGCUCUAGGUUAUAAGUUCUAUAGGUGCCAAAGGUUCAACACAUACCAAUAAAAAGUCCAAGAAAGGGUUCAAAUAAAAAGAGCAAAAGACAACCGAAGGCUGCCCUGGUCUGGCGCACUGGACUGUCCGAUGUGCCACCGGACAGUGUCCGGUGCACCAGAGAGAUUCACUCCAAACUUGCCACCUUCGGGAAUUUGGGAAGCCACUCCGCUAUAAUUCACCGGACUGUCCGGUGUGCCAAGCGGAGCAACGGUCGCCAACGCAAUGGUCGAGUUCAACGGUCGGCUGACAACGCUACAGUGCGCGGACUACGCGCGUAGAAGUCAGAGAAGGCGCAGAUGGCGCACCGGACAGUGAAGAGGACCUGUCUGGUGCACCAUCGGACUGUCCGGUGGCCCACAUGUCAGAAACUCCAACGGUCGAACCCUAACGGUUGGGUGACGUGGCUGGCGCACCGGACAGUGUCCGGUGGCGCACCGGACUGUCCGGUGCGCCCAUCGACAGCAGAGUUCCCCAACGACCACUUUGGUGGUUGGGGCUAUAAAUACCCCCCAACCACCACACUUCGAUGCAUCCAAGUUUUCAGCCAUCAAACCUCAUACAAGAGCUCUAGACUUCAUUCCAAGACACAAACAAAGAGAUCAAAUCCUCUCCCAAGUCUGGAAUCACUCCAAACAAAUUAGUGACUAGAGAGAGAGAGACUUUUGUGUUCUUUUAAGCUCUUGUGCUUGGAUCGCUUUUCUUCUUCCUCCUUUCUUGUUCUCAACUCAAUUGUAAUCAAAGCAAGAGACACCAAGUUGUGGUGGUCCUUGUAGUGGACUAAGUGUCCCGUUUGAUUGAAGAGAAAAGCUCACUCGGUCUAGGUGACCGUUUGAGAGAGGGAAAGGGUUGAAAGAGACCCGAUCUUUGUGACCACCUCAACGGGGAGUAGGUUUGCAAGAACCGAACCUCGGUAAAACAAAUCACCGUGUUCAUCUGUUUUAUUUCUUUGUUGAUUUGUUUUCCCUUUCUUUCGGACUUGAUUAUAUUUCUAACGCUAACCCUUGCUUGUAGUUGUGCUUAAACUUUAUAAAUUUCAGAUUUGCCUAUUCACCCCCCUCUAGGCGACUUUCAAUUGGUAUCAGAGCCCGGUACUUCAUUAGAGCCUAACCACUCGAUGUCAUGUCGGGAGCUCACGCCAAGAAGGAGAUGGUGACCGGCGAGAAGCCCGCCACAAGCCACGGGAAGGCUCCAUCGGGAGAGUCCGGCAACAAAAGGGAGGAAUCACCUCCCCACGUCAAGUCGCACCGGAGUGGUGACCAGAAGAAGAAAAUGAAGAAAGUGUUCUACUGUGAGACCGAUUCUUCGUCGCCAUCCACCUCCACGUCCGACGCGCCGUCCGUCACUUCUAAGCGCCAUGAGCGCAAGAAGUUUAGUAAGAUCUCCUUACGCUAUCCUCGUAUUUCCAAAUGCACUCCUUUACUUUCCGUCCCACUAGGCAAACCACCGGUUUUUGACGGUGAACAUUAUUGUAUGUGGAGUGAUAAAAUGAGGCACCAUCUAACCUCACUCCACGCUAGUAUUUGGGACAUUGUUGAGUUUGGUGCGCAGGAACCAUCCGUGGGGGAUGAAGGCUAUGAUUCGGAUGAGGUAGCCCAAAUCCAGCACUUCAACUCCCAAGCCACCACUAUACUCCUCGCCUCUCUAAGUCGAGAGGAGUAUAAUAAGGUGCAAGGGUUGAAGAGCGCCAAAGAGAUUUGGGACGUACUAAAGACCACACACGAAGGAGACGAGGUGACCAAGAUCACCAAGAGCGAAACGAUCGAGGGGGAGCUCGGUCGCUUCAUGCUUCAUCAAGGGGAGGAGCCACAAGCAAUGUACAACCGGCUCUAGACCUUGGUGAACCAAGUGCGCAACCUCAGGAGCACCAAAUGGGAUGACCAUGAAAUGGUCAAGGUUAUUCUAAGAUCACUUAUAUUUCUUAAUCCUACACAAGUUCAAUUAAUUCGUGGUGAUCCUAGAUACAAGAUAAUGUCUCCCGAGGAGGUUAUAGGAAAAUUUGUGAGCUUUGAAUUGAUGAUCAAAGGCUCCAAGAAAAUCAUCGAGCAAGGCGCCUCCUCCACACCCGAAAUGCAACUCGUCGCAUUCAAGGCAACAGAGGAGAAGAAAGAAGAGUCUACUUCAAGUAGACUUCCCAUCGACGCCUCCAAGCUCGACAACGAGGAAAUGGCGCUCAUCAUCAGGAGCUUUCGCCAAAUCCUCAAGCAAAGGAGGGGGAAGGACUACAAGCCCCGCUCCAAGAAAGUUUGCUACAAGUGUGGUAAGCCCGGACAUUUCAUUGCUAAAUGUCCAUUAUCAAGUGAUAGUGACAGGGGCGAUGACAAGAAGGGGAGAAGGAAGGAGAAGAAGAAAUAUUACAAGAAGAAGGGCGGCGAUGCCCAUGUAUGCCACGAGUGGGACUCCGAUGAGAGCUCCACCGACUCCUCCUCCGACGAGAACGCCGCAAACAUCGCCAUCAACAAGGGUCUUCUCCUUCCCAACGUCGAUCACAAGUGCCUCAUGGCAAAGGACGACAAAAAGAAGAAGGUAAAAUCUAGAGCUUCCACUAAAUAUGCAACAUCUAGUGAUGAGGCUAGCUCUAGUGAUGAUGAGGAUGAUUUGAUCACCCUUUUUGCCAACUUAAACAUUCAACAAAAAGACAAAUUGAAUGAAUCGAUUAGUGUUAUUCAUGAGAAGGAUGAACUCUUGGAUAGCCAAGAGGACUUCCUUAUUAAAGAAAAUAAGAAGCAUGUUAAAGUUAAAAAUGCUUAUGCUCAGGAGAUAGAAAAAUGUGAAAAAUUAACUAGUGAUCUAAGCACUUGCCAUGACACUAUUUUCAACCUUAGAUUUGAAAAUGACAAAUUGAUUGCUAAGGUUGAGAAAUUAAAUGUUAGUGAUGAUUCUCUUGUCAACCUUAGAAAUGAUAAUGCUAAUUUGAUUGCUAAGGUUGACAAAUUGAAUGCAUCUCUCUCUAGCCUUAAAAUUGAGAAUGAAAAAUUAAUUGCUAAGGCUAAAGAUUUAAAUGUUUGCAAUGUUUCUAUUUCCAAUCUUAGAGAUGAGAACACUAUUUUACAUGCUAAGAUUGUUGAAUUAAAUACUUGCAAACCCUCAACAUCUACCGUUGAACAUGUUACUAUUUGCACUAGAUGUAGAGAUGUUAAUAUUGAUGCUAUUCAUGAUCACAUUGCUAUGAUUAAACAACAAAAUGAUCAUAUAGCAAAAUUAGAUGCUAAAAUUGCCGAGCAUGAAUUAGAGAAUGAAAAAUUUAAAUUUGCUCGUAAUAUGCUUUAUGGUGGGAGACGCCCUGGCAUUAAGGAUGGCAUUGGCUUCCAACAGGGAGGCGAUGUCAAACUCAAUGCCCCUAAGAAAUUGUCCAACUUUGUUAAGGGCAAGGCUCCCAUGGUUUAGGAUAACGAGGGUUACAUUUUAUACCCUGACGGUUAUCCCGAACAUAAAAUUAGGAGAAUUCACUCUAGGAAGUCUCACUCUGGCUCUCAUCAUGCUUUUAUGAAUAAGAGUGAGGCAUCUAGUUCUAGGAAAUCCACCCAUGCUAAAUUGCCUAAGAAGAAAACUCCUAUAGCAUCAAACGAACCUAAUUUUUCAUUUAAGACUUUUGAUGCUUCUUAUGUGCUCACUAACAAAUCAGGCAAAAUAGUUGCCAAAUAUGUUGGGGCUAAACACAAGGGAUCAAAGACUUGUGUUUGGGUACCCAAGGUGCUUGUUUCUAAUGUGAAAGGACCCAAGACCAUUUGGGUACCUAAGAACAAGGCCUAAACUUGUUUUGUAGGUUUAUGCAUGCGGGGGCUCAAGUUUGAUCAUCGAUAGCGGGUGCACAAACCACAUGACUGGGGAGAAAAUAAUGUUCUCCUCCUAUGAGAAAAAUCAUGAUCCCCAAAGAGCUAUCACAUUCGGGGAUGGAAAUCAAGGUUUGGUCAAAGGACUUGGUAAAAUUGCUAUAUCCCCUGACCAUUCUAUUUCCAAUGUUUUUCUUGUAGAUUCUUUAGAUUACAACUUGCUUUCUGUUUCUCAAUUAUGCAAAAUGGGUUACAACUGUCUUUUUACGGAUAUAGGUGUUACUGUCUUUAGAAGAAGUGAUGAUUCUGUAGCAUUUAAGGGAGUGUUAGAGGGUUAGCUAUACUUAGUUGAUUUUAAUAGAGCUGAACUCGACACUUGCUUAAUUGCUAAGACUAACAUGGGUUGGCUCUGGCAUCGCCGACUUGCCCACGUUUAAAUGAAGAAUCUCCACAAACUUCUAAAGGGAGAACACAUUUUGGGACUAACAAAUGUUCAUUUUGAGAAAGACAGGGUUUGUAGCGCAUGUCAAGCAGGGGAAGCAAGUUGGUGUUCAUCAUCCACACAAGAACAUAAUGACGACCGACAGACCGCUUGAGCUACUCCACAUGGACCUAUUCGGCCCGAUAGCUUAUAUAAGCAUCAACGGGAGUAAGUAUUGUCUUGUAAUUGUGGAUGAUUAUUCUCGCUUCACUUGGGUGUUAUUUUUGCAGGAAAAAUCUCAAACCCAAGAGACCUUAAAGGGAUUCUUGAGAUGGGCUCAAAAUGAGUUCGGCUUAAGGAUCAAAAAGAUAAGAAGCGACAACGGGACGGAGUUCAAGAACUCUCAAAUAGAAGGCUUCCUUGAGGAUGAGGGCAUCAAGCAUGAGUUCUCUUCUCCCUACACACCACAACAAAAUGGUGUAGUGGAGAGGAAGAAUAGAACUCUACUUGACAUGGCGAGGACCAUGCUUGAUGAGUACAAGACUUCGGACCGGUUUUGGGCGGAAGCAGUCAACACCGCUUGCUACGCCAUCAACCGUCUCUACCUUUGCCGAAUACUCAAGAAGACAUCGUAUGAACUACUCACCGGUAAAAAGCCCAAUGUUUCAUAUUUUAGAGUCUUUGGUAGCAAAUGCUUUAUUCUUGUUAAAAGAGGUAGAAAAUCUAAAUUUGCUCCUAAGGCUGUAGAAGGCUUUUUACUUGGUUAUGAUUCAAACACAAGGGCAUAUAGAGUCUUUAACAAGUCCUCUGGACUAGUUGAGGUUACUUGUGACAUUGUGUUUGAUGAGACUAACGGCUCUCAAGUAGAGCAAGUUGAUCUUGAUGAGCUAGAUGAUGAAGAGGCUCCAUGCGUCGCGCUAAGGAACAUGUCCAUUGGGGAUGUGUGUCCUAAGGAAUCCGAAGAGCCUCCACAAGCACAAGAUCAACCAUCUUCCUCCAUGCAAGCAUCUCCACCAACUCAAGAUGAGGAUCAAGCUCAAGAGGAUGAAAAUGAAGAUCAAGAAGAUGAGCCACCUCAAGAGGAGGGCAAUGAUCAAGGGGGAGAUGCCAAUGAUCAAGACAAGGAAGAUGACGACAGUCCAAGACCACCACACCCAAGAGUCCACCAAGCAAUACAAAGAGAUCACCCCGUGAACUCCAUCCUCGGCGAUAUUCAUAAGGGGGUAACCACUCGAUCUCGUGUUGCUCAUUUUUGUGAACAUUACACCUUUGUAUCUUCUAUUGAGCCAUAUAGGGUGGAAGACACAUUAAGGGAUUCAGAUUGGGUGUUGGCGAUGCAAGAGGAACUCAACAACUUCACGAGGAAUGAGGUAUGACAUUUAGUUCCACGCCCUAAUCAAAAUGUUGUAGGAACCAAGUGGGUCUUCCGCAACAAGCAAGAUGAGCAUGGUGUGGUGACAAGGAACAAAGCCCGACUUGUGGCCAAGGGAUAAUCACAAGUCGAAGGUUUGGAUUUCGGUGAAACCUAUGCACCCGUAGCUAGGCUUGAGUCAAUUUGUAUAUUACUUGCCUAUGCUACUUACCAUGGCUUCAAGCUUUAUCAAAUGGACGUGAAAAGUGCCUUCCUCAAUGGACCAAUCAAGGAAGAAGUCUAUGUUGAGCAACCUCCCGACUUUGAAGAUAGUGAGUACCCUAACCAUGUGUAUAAACUCUCUAAGGCGCUUUAUGGGCUCAAGCAAGCCCCAAGAUCAUGGUAUGAAUGCCUAAGAGAUUUUCUUAUCGCUAAUGGCUUCAAAGUCGGAAAAGCCGAUCCUACUCUCUUUACUAAAACAAUUGCAAAUGAUUUGUUUGUAUGCCAAAUUUAUGUUGAUGAUAUUAUAUUUGGGUCUACUAACAAAUCUACAUUUGAAGAGUUUAGUAGAUAAUGGUACAAAAAUUCGAGAUGUCUAUGAUGGGGGAGUUGAAGUAUUUCUUAGGAUUUCAAGUGAAGCAACUCCAAGAGGGCAUCUUCAUCAGUCAAACGAAGUACAUUCAAGACAUACUCACCAAGUUUGGGAUGAAGGAUGCCAAGCCUAUCAAGACACCCAUGGGAACCAAUGGGCAUCUUGACCUCGACACGAGAGGUAAAUCCAUAGAUCAAAAGGUAUACCGGUCGAUGAUAGGAUCUUUACUCUAUUUAUGUGCAUCUCGACCGGAUAUUAUGCUUUUCAUAUGCAUGUGUGCAAGAUUCCAAGCCGAUCCUAAGGAAGUUCACCUUAGGGUCGUGAAAUGAAUCUUGAGAUAUUUAGUUCAUACUCCUAAGUUUGGCCUUUGGUACCCCAGGGGAUCCACAUUUGAUUUAAUAGGAUAUUUAGAUGCUGAUUGGGCAGGGUGUAAAAUUGAUAGAAAGAGCACAUCAGGGACUUGUUAGUUCUUGGGAAGAUCCCUGGUGUCAUAGGCUUCAAAGAAGCAAAAUUUUGUAUCUCUUUCUACCACCGAAGCCGAGUACAUUACCGCAGGCCAUUGUUGCGCGCAAUUGCUUUGGAUGAGGCAAACCCUUAGGGACUAUGGUUACAAAUUAACCAAAGUUCCGCUCCUAUGUGAUAAUGAGAGUGCAAUCCACAUGGUGGAUAAUCCCGUUGAGCACAACCGCACUAAGCACAUAGCCAUUCGGUAUCACUUUUUGAGGGAUCACCAACAAAAGGGGGAUAUCGAGAUUGUUUAUAUUAACACCAAAGAACAAUUAGCCGAUAUCUUUACCAAUGUUGGGGACUUGUUCUCAAAUGCUAUGAGUUAAGAACAAGGCAACACAAGAAAUGUUAAACGUUAAUGCCCUUCGUCCUUCGAGACAUUAUUUCCCUUAGGAUAUAAUGAUCUUCAGACGAAGGUCAUGAAGGACAUACCUUCAUCAUUGCAAUAUACGAUAAUAAAAGGAGAAUCAUAUAGAAUGUAAGAGACAACAUGAAUAAGUAUGUAAUAUUAUCAGCACAUUUCUAUUUUAUUAUCAUGGACAAAUAGAAAUGAUAUCAAAUUACAAAUGUACCUUCAGCUUGAUGGAAGGUAAAAGUACAAGUGUGACGCACGAUCAAAUACAAGUCAGCGUGAACAGUACGGGAGCACUGUUCAUCUAUUUAUAGGCACGGGACACAGCCCAUGUAAAAUUACACCCAUGCCUUUUACAUUUGCUAAUGACUCUAUAGUGAUCCAUCGAGGUCUAAAUGACCUUUUCCCUUUUAAGUCGGUUCCCUUUUCCGCUGUUAUGCCAAAGCUCCCUUGCGCGUAGCUUCGGCGCUACGUCAACCUUCGUAUUCUUUGUGCUUCUCACACUGUGGUUCUGAUCCGAGUCCGAAGGUACCUGUUCAUGUAUCAUACUCCAGAAAUAAUGUUAAAUCAUGUUUUUGAAGACCUUCGGAAGACGAAGGCCCCCAACAGUAGCCCCUCGCAAUAUUAAUUUGUUAGAAUAACGAAUUCAAAUUGCGAUAUGGACGAAGGCCUUAAGCCAAAAUUCUGAAAAAACACCUUCCCUUUGCUAGAAUAGCAACAGUCGAUGACAGACGGGGCCCUCCAAUUUGGAACGCACUGGGCGUAUAAAUAGGAACUCACCCCGAGCACAUUUGGUACGCUAUCUGCCGCCUGCUUUGCUUGCUCAAUUUUUUAGCUCUUGCCUACCAACGCUUGCUUGGUUUUUUAGACUUUCUAAGCUUCGGCUUUAAGGACACAUUUUCGCCAUUUCCGAAGAGAAGAUGUCUCAAGACAAAAAAGUUGUUGCUGAGACGAAGCUGAGCGAAGAGGAGAAGCUCCAUGAGGAGAAGACUGCUGGAUUUGUUGAAUCAAUAGCAAAGAAAAAUACAGAAAAGAUUACUAAGGAGAUUCUAGAAGGCUUAUCUGAAGAUACUGAUGACAGCGACAGUUAUGAUGCGGAAAGCGGAGGCGAAGACUCCGAAGAUCGGCCCUGGCGACCAAGCAUGCAGUCUUCGGGAAAUCAACCAUCAAACAGAGUCAUCUUGAUAAUAUGAGAGGAAGGUAUUUUCGAUAUUAUUUUUUUGUUCUUAUAUUAACCCAUUCAUUCUUUUCAUAUAGGGUUUAAUACUUAGCAACGCCUUAAGGGCGCAAAAGAAUGUCGAAGACGAGAGUUGCACUAUUGCUCUCAACAACCUUCAAACAGAGGUUAUCAAGCUGAGGAACGAAGCUUUGGAAAAAGAAAAAAUUCUACUUACAUUGGUGGACAAAGUAAAGGGGGAUGAAGCUAACUUCAAGGCUCAAUCUGAAAUCCAAAGGAAUGAGAUUGAAAACCUUCAAAAACAACUGGCCGAAGCCAAAUUGAAAUGCGCUAUUGCCGAAGCUGACCGAGUUGCCAGUGAGUACUAGAAAAAUUAUCUUGAAAAACAGUUGCAGAGCUUCGCUCAUCAAAAGAAAGAUGUUUUGAAAAAUCUGUGGAAUGCGUGAAAAAGAUAAAAACUAGCUUUGCCAACGUUGGCGCAUAUUCAAGCGAAGAUAACUUCAUACGGGGCGACCCCGAAGGCGUAAUCGAGUGGAUCAGCGGUGAGGCCGAAGCCUUUGAAGAGAUUUUGAGUGACCGCGGGGACGUCUGUGCCUUCUCUGGUGCGAGAGGAAUUGCAGCUAUUUUGGAGAAAGCAGGGUGCGAACAUGUUAAAACUUUGGCCCAGGCCGAAGCUGCCUUCUCCACCGAUGAUAUAAAGGACCCCUCGGCCGAAGCAAACUCAAUAGGUGGAAAAAAUUUCACUGAUAUCUGGGAAAACGGUGGCCGAGGGAUGGCCCAUGAAAUUAUAAAGAAAAACGAAAAAGAUAUUCACGACACUCGAGAGUCAAUAAAAGAAGCUGAAAAGGCUGCGGAGCUUGAGAGACGAAUAUGUAUUACUUAAUGGUUUUUAACUUUGUUGUUUAUUUUUGUGACUUUGAACUGAUUUAUGUUUUCUACCUUAGCUGAACUAUCUCCUCCCCCAGCGCCCUUAGAGUCAUUGGCCGACCCAGAGGCAAAGGAAUCAACAGAACUUAUUAACAUGGCCGAAACUAUUGUAGACGAAGUCGUUACCCAACUGCUGACCGAAUUUGCACAUAAAGUUUUGAAGGAAGAAGAGUAGCUAUUGUAAAAACAUUGCUAGAAUAUUAAUGUAACAUUUGCCGGACUAUGCUUGUAAUAUUUGGUGCUCCUAGGUUUUGAAUGUAAUAUAUGAAUGGUUUUGUAAUUCAUUUCUUUGCGAUGCAUGAAACUUUUAUGUACAUACCGUUUUUGAGCCUUCGGCGAAAAAACACCUUCCCUUCUUUUCAUGUUCGUAAAGAAGAGCUUUUAUGCUUCGUAAAAAAUCCUCCAAUCGUCGCAAAAACAUUAAUGCUUCGUCAACAACAGAUUUUUCCUCCACAUCAGAGCUGAUGAAGCUGUAUUUCUUCAAAACUUAUUUUGUGCCUUAGCACAAUUUCACUUUUUUCGAAGCAUUCUUCGAAGGUCAACAUUGUAUCCCCUUCUUGUGCCAUUGAUGCAAUAUGAUGUAUGAUGUUAUGUUAUGUGAAAUGAUGUGAUGAUGUUAUGUUAUGCAAAAUGAUGUUUAUGCCGAAGACACACACUCACACCCCCAUAGUGGAAUACACAAUCUCUUUGCCGCUUAUUUUUCGGCUUCACCGCUUAUUUUUCGGUGUAUCAGCGCUGACUUUUCACUGUAAGUUCUGCAUUCCCUUAGGAACGUCUUUUGAACUUCUUCACCUUCUAUUUCGGCGGUAUUCGCGUUGACUUUUCGCGCUUCGCCUUAUAUUUCGGCGGUAUUUGGCUCUGCAUUCCCUUUGGAAUGACUUUUGAGCAGAAAACUUACACUGCGCUCCCUUAGGAACGACUUUUUGUAGCUUCGGCAAACUUACGCUGCGUUCCUUAGAACGACUUUUUUGUGGCUUCGGUGAUACUUGUAAUGUGAUUUUUAGCCCCGCGUUCCCUUAGGAACGACUUUUGUGCUUCAGUGACUUUUUGAACUUCGUGAGUCUGUGGAGAAGAUAUAUUUCACUAUGGCAAGAACGAAGUUAUUACAAGAAAUCAAGAGAGCUAGGUUUUCAAUAAUUGUUCCUUAUUAAAAAGGAAGUGAUAAUGAAUGUAAAAACUGCUUCAGGGGUAGGAUAUCUCUCAAUAGAUAUGCUUCGAUUCUAGCACAGUACUGUUGGCUGUGCGAGCUUCGGACUCCUCCCUGAAAUCUCGUUGCUGAUGGGUCUGUUGGCUCCCUUCUGGCUGCUGGCCUCGUGAAUAUGCAGGUUGUAGUGGUGGCAGAGGUGGAGGCUGUGGCCAAGAUGCAUGUGGCUGGCUAGCCGAAGCAACAGAAGCUGCAGGAUGGUUACCCACAUACUCUGGUAUGUAGGGUGAGUGAUACGAAGCAGUGUGCAUGACCUGCUUCGGCUGGUUCUGCUGAGCUGCGGCUUCUGCUAAUUCCUUUUGUUUCUGAAUGGUGACAUGGCACAUCCUUGUAGUAUGGCCCUUGUCCUCACCACAGAAUAAGCAAUUUUCCUAGGUUGAUCCCCAAACCUUCCUCCGAAGCCCCUGGCACCUCUGCCUCUUGGAGUUGGCGGCCGAAAAUAGGUUUGUUGCUGCCCCGAAACUUGCGAGGAAUAUUGUGGCUUCUGUUGCUGACUUCCUCUGUCGUCAUUCUGGGUGGAGUGGAUUGAUCUGACAUGCCUUGGGUGGAUUCUUCCUCCGAAGCCCCUGGUCAUCUCAGAGAACCUGUAGGCUUCCUCCCUUCUUUGGCGAAAGUCAUUGUCAGCCCGGAUGUAUUCAUCCAUCUUUUGAAGCAGCUUCUCCAAAGUCUGUGGAGGCUUUCUAGCAAAAUACUGGGCAGUAGGUCCUGGAUGAAGCCCCUUGAUCAUGGCCUCAAUGACAAUUUCAUUGGGCACAGUAGGCACUUGUGCUCUCAGACGCAAGAACCUUCAGACGUAUGCCUGGAGAUACUCCUCAUGAUCUUGCGUGCAUUGAAACAGAGCCUGAGCUGUGACUGGCUUCGUCUGAAAGCCCUGGAAACUUGUCACCAGCAUGUCCUUGAGCUUCUGCCAUGAAGUGAUGGUCCCUGGCCGAAGAGAAGAAUACCACGUUUGAGCCACAUUCUUAACUGCCAUGACGAAGGACUUGGCCAUGACAGCUGCAUUGCCUCCGUAUGAAGAUAUAGUUGCUUCAUAACUCAUCAAAAACUGCUUCGGGUCUGAAUGCCCAUCAUACAUUGGAAGCUGAGGUGGCUUGUAUGAUGGGGGCCACGGGAUAGCCUGCAGUUCUGCUGCCAAGGGAGAAGCAUCAUCAAAAGUAAAGGUAUCAUGAUUAAAAUCAUCAUACCAUCCAUCGUCGUUGAACAAGCCCUCUUGAUGAAGCUCCCUGUGUUGGGGCCUUCGAUCUUGCUCGUCUUGAGCAAGGUGGCGUACUUCUUCAGUGGCUUCGUCAAUCUGCCUUUGAAGGUCAGCUUGUCGGGCCAUCUUCUCCUUCUUCUUUUGCACUUGCUGAUGAAGCAUCUCCAUGUUUCUGAUUUCUUGGUCCAACUCGUCCACCUGGGGUGUUGGACUAGUGGCCUUCCUCUUCUGGCUUCGGGCCUCUCGAAGAGAAAGGGUCUCCUGAUUUGGGUCCAGUGGCUGCAGAGCGGCAGCCCCUAGCGCUGAAACUUUCUUCGGUGGCAUGACGAAGGUCAAUGCUUGCCGAAGGUGGUCGAAAAGAGUUCACCCCACGGUGGGCGCCAAUGUUGGGGACUUGUUCUCAAAUGCUAUGAGUUAGGAACAAGGCAACAUAAGAAAUGUUAAACGUUAAUGCCCUUCGUCCUUCGAGACAUUAUUUCCCUUAGGAUAUAAUGAUCUUCAGACGAAGGUCAUGAAGGACAUACCUUCAUCAUUGCAAUAUACGAUAAUAAAAGGAGAAUCAUAUAGAAUGUAAGAGACAACAUGAAUAAGUAUGUAAUAUUAUCAGCACAUUUCUAUUUUAUUAUCAUGGACAAAUAGAAAUGAUAUCAAAUUACAAAUGUACCUUCAGCUUGAUGGAAGGUAAAAGUACAAGUGUGACACACGAUCAAAUACAAGUCAGCGUGAACAGUACGGGAGCACUGUUCAUCUAUUUAUAGGCACGGGACACAGCCCAUGUAAAAUUACACCCAUGCCCUUUACAUUUGCUAAUGACUCUAUAGUGAUCCAUCGAGGUCUAAAUGGCCUUUUCCCUUUUAAGUCAGUUCCCUUUUCCGCUGUUAUGCCGAAGCUCCCUUGUGCGUAGCUUCAGCGCUACGUCAACCUUCGUAUUCUUUGUGCUUCUCACACUGUGGUUCUGAUCCGAGUCCGAAGGUACCUGUUCAUGUAUCAUACUCCAGAAACAUUGUUAAAUCAUGUUUUUGAGGACCUUCGGAAGACGAAGGCCCCCGACAACCAAGCCACUAGAUGAGAAAACUUUUACCAAUCUUAGGCAUGAGCUAAACAUUCUAGAUUCUAGGAAUUUUGAUUGAUAUUUUGCACACAUAGCUUAUUUCAAUACCUUUGAUCAUAUCUCUUUCAUGUGCUAUGACUAAUGUGGUUUUCAAGUAUAUUUCAUGCUAAGUCAUAGAUUGAAAGGAAAAUGGAGUCUUCGGCGAAGAAAAGGCUUCCACUCCAUCGAAUUAUUCAUCCUUCGCCGACACUCCACAUCGCUCUCCAAUUUGGUAUAAUCUUCACUCCUACAUUAUUUACCAAAGGGGGAGAAAGUUUGAAAAAGGGCUUAUAUUUUCACUCACAAGUAUCCGUUUUUGGCGAUUCAUGCCAAAGGGGGAGAAAGUAUUAGCCCAAAGCAAAAGGACCGCACCACCACCAAUUUCAAAAAUGAAGUCUUUUAAAUUUGUACUAAAAGAAGGUUUUUCAAUUGGUAUCUUAUUUUUGAUAGAAUUUUCAAAUUGGUAUAACCCAUUUCAAAAUUAAUAUCUAAAACUCUCUUGAACAAUAAGAGGAGAAUUUCAUUAAGGGGGAGUUUUGUUUAGUCAAAGGAAAAGCAUUUGAAACAGGGGGAGAAAAUUUCAAAUCUUAAAAAUGCUUCUCAAAAUCUUACUCAUUUACCUUUGACUACUUGCAAAAAGACUUUGAAAAGAAUUUCCAAAAGAGUUUGCAAAAACAAAACAAGUGCUGCAAGCGUGGUCCAAAAUGUUAAAAUAGAAGAAAGCAUCCAUGCAUAUCUUAUAAAAUGUAUAUUGGUUUAAUUCCAAGUAACCUUUGCACUUUCAUUAUGCAAACUAGUUCAAUUCUGCAAUUAUAUAUUUGCUUUGGUUUGUGUUGGCAUCAAUCAUCAAAAAGGGGGAGAUUGAAAGGGAAAUAGGCUUACACCUUUUCCUAAAUGGUUUUGGUGGUUGAAUUGCCCAACGCAAAUAAUUGGACUAACUAGUUUGCUCUAGAUUAUAAGUUCUACAUGUGCCAGAGGUUCAACACAAACCAAUAAAAAGUCCAAGAAAGGGUUCAAAUAAAAAGAGCAAAAGACAACCGAAUGCUGCCCUGGUCUGGCGCACCGGACAGUGUCCGGUGCACCAGGGAGAUUCACUCCAAACUUGCCACCUUUGGGAAUUUGGGAAGCCACUCCGCUAUAAUUCACCGGACUGUCCGGUGUAGCACCGGACUGUCCAGUGUGCCAAGCGGAGCAACGGUCGUUAGCGCAACGGUCGAGUUGAACGGUCGGCUCACAACGCUACAGUGCGCGUACUGCGCGCGCAGAAGUUAGAGCAGGUGCAGAUGGCGCAUCGGACAGUGAACAGGACCUGUCCGGUGCACCACCGGACUAUCCGGUGGCCCACAUGUCAGAAGCUCCAACGGUCGAACCCUAACGGUUGGGUGACGUGGCUGGCGCACCGGACAGUGGCCGGUGGCGCACCGGACUGUCCGGUGCGCCCAUCGACAGUAGAGUUCCCCAACGGCCACUUUGGUGGUUGGGGCUAUAAAUACCCCCCAACCACCACACUUCAAUGCAUCCAAGUUUUCAGCCAUCAAACCUCAUACAAGAGCUCUAUACUUCAUUCCAAGACACAAACAAAGAGAUCAAAUCCUCUCCCAAGUCCGGAAUCACUUCAAACAAAUUAGUGACUAGAGAGAGAGACUUUUGUGUUCUUUUGAGCUCUUGCGCUUGGAUCGCUUUUCUUCUUCCUCCUUUCUUGUUCUCAACUCAAUUGUAAUCAAAGCAAGAGACACCAAGUUGUGGUGGUCCUUGUAGUGGACUAAGUGUCCUGUUUGAUUGAAGAGAAAAGCUCACUCAGUCUAGGUGACCGUUUGAGAGAGGGAAAGGGUUGAAAGAGACCCGGUCUUUGUGACCACCUCAACGGGGAGUAGGUUUGCAAGAACCGAACCUCGGUAAAACAAAUCAUCGUGUUCAUUCGUUUUAUUUCUUUGUUGAUUUGUUUUCCCUCUCUUUCGGACUCGAUUAUAUUUUUAACGCUAACCCCGACUUGUUGUUGUGCUUAAACUUUAUAAAUUUCAGAUUUGCCUAUUCACCCCCCCUUUAGGUGACUUUUAGUCUCAACACCUCCUCUCUCGUACGAUGCGCUUUACCAUGGAAGAUCCACCGAGUAUAGUCUGGCGUAAAUCUGAUCUUCCAAAUAUGUUCUACCAUGGCCUUCUUUGAUUUUCUUUUCCGGUUGGCACAUUUGCUGCACGGGCAUGGGACUAGACUCGCUCCUUUAGCAGCUUUGCCAUAUGCCCGUUCCACAAAAGCAUCGGUCUUUCUAAUCCAUUCAGGGGUGACAUCAUUCCUACUUACACGGCAUGUGUACAUCCACUCACGGUCUUCCAUCCUCUAACAUAUGUAACCGAGUAUAGUUUAAUAUAAACAUGUAAUGCAUGUACGCUAUGUUCCUACCUUAUAAUAGGUGAGUAUAGUUCUUAAUCUCACUCGCGGUUGCGUAGACGAAGUUAGUUUCCAUGCUCUACUUCGAUCCAAGACAGAGUUCCGGCAGCACCUCCCCGUUGUUCUCCGGAUACACGCCCUAGCAGGUAGAAUGUACUGUCCGGAGAUCAACAUGGAGGUGAAACCGAAACUCUGUCUCGGACCGGAGUAGAGCAUGGAAACUAAUACCAGGGCGACGGUGGAGUAGGGAUAGCGGGGCUGUGGCGGGUCGGUGCAGUGGCGACGUGUCGCAGUGCAGGUUCUAGUGUGGCGGCAAGGAAUACCUCUGCAAAAAAAAAUUAACACAAGUUUAUCAACAAAAAAAUCGGCAGGACUUCCCCUGCACGAGGAGGUUGCAAAAAACCAGCAAAUAAAACUAACAGCACGAUGGCUGACAUCCACACAUAUACUAGCAAAAAAUAGACUUGCGUGUGUUAUUUACAAUUGUGUUAGUUACACACAAUCUAUUGAUGCCAUAUUUGUUGUGUACUAGCGAUUGGCAAGAAGAAUCAACUUUUAGGCACUAAAACAUCUAGUGGGUUCAAAUUAAAGAACUUCUUCUAUUAAUUACAGAACCACCCCAUCGGCCGACCAGGAUCCAAAUUAAAGAACUUCUUCUUCUAUUAAUUAUAGUAUAUUAUAAUUACCAAGUCUCUUCUUAUAUUUACAUGUUCAUUUGCUUGCUUCUUGCAUAACAUAACGGCGAUCGAUGAUGACCAUCGUUAGUUUUAGUCCUACGUGUAUUUGAUUCAAUCCCUCCAUGUUCAUAGUAUAAAUUCAACCAAACCUAAAUAAGUUUCAGUCAGCUUGAUCUUAAAAUUGCAUCAUACACACACAUACAUAGUCUUACUAGAAGUAAGCAAUUUCUUUUAAACUAAUUUCCAGCCAACAUUGAUGAAUGAACUAGAAUGUGGCUAUAACCGAGACCUGUGUGGGUGGUGCUGGAGAUGGGGACGUUGGGCCGAGGCUCACCGGCGUCGAGGCCUGUCCGAAGAUGGCCGACCGCCAGGCCGGGGACGGGGCUCGUUGGAGAUGGCCGGGUCGAGCGACGGUGGGGACGUCGGAGGCAGGGAGGAUGGCCGGCACGGUGUCCGGAGCCGGAGGGGAUGACCGGAGAGGAGGAUGGUCGGCGCUUGCUCCGAUGGCGUUGGCGGCGAGUGGCGUUGGCGGAGGGGACGACUGGUUAGGGCUAUGUACACAGACUUUGCCGAGUGCCAUAUCACGGGCACUCGGCAAAGAUUUUUUUUAAAUUUAAAAAUAAACUUUGCCGAGUGUCACAGAUCACUGACAGGCACUUGGCAAAGAUUGUUUUAAUUUUUUUAAAAAAACUUUACAGAGUGUCCCACGGCAGGCACUCGACAAAGAAUGCUUUACUGACUGCCUUAUUUUGACACUCGACAAAGAAUUCUUUGCCAAGUGCCCGAUAAAAAGCACUUGGCAAAGCACCGAGCACUCGGCAAAGAGCCGGAUUCCGGUGUGGUUGUUUCAUGGAAGUUGUAAGUAGACCAUCUUAACAAGGUCAACAAUAGAAGUACAACUCACAACAUUAGAUACUGCCAAAGUUAAUGUUGAGAGGCUUCGUGAACUCCUUAUGGAUUUACUAGUAGUUGAAAAACCAAUACUGGUUAUCUAUAUGAGCUAUAAUAAUUAAACAUUGGUAAUCAAAGUGAACAAUUCUUAGGUUAACAUGAAGACUACAAAGCAUGUCAAGAACGGUUGAAACUGUUAAAACACUAAGAAACUCUAGAUUAAUUGUGUUGGACUAUGUCCAUACUUCUAAGAAUUUGGUAUGCCAGUUUAUAGAAGAUUUGUCACAUAAUGUGAUAGAUGGUGCAUCGAGAAAGAUGGACUUGAGACCCACUUAAUGCCAUUCCAUAGUAGUAGCAUUUUCUAUGUGAUUGGAGAUCUCAUGAAGUAAAAUGGUGAAAUAAGCUAGAGAAUGACUGAUGGAGAGACUCCUUAAAUAAAAUCUAGGUAAUUUCAUAUGAACAUUUCUCCUUCGAUGUACGAUAGGCUAACUAAAAUCUUAAUAUGAUUUGAGUGACAUAUCUAAGCAGGGAUGUUAUCUUAUAGAACAUCCUAUAAGGAACACACCUAUAUGACUUUGACUACUAAUCACAGUCUAUGAUAUGUGGGAAAUAUUUUUUUACUCAUGAAAGGCCUCGAAGUUUGACUUAUAUGCUUCAAACCAAUGGAUAACUGAUUGAAUCUGUUUCAGACAGCAGCAUAGUUAACUUCAAAAUUCUAUAUCUCCCAAACUUCUCAACCAAAAAUUAUUAAAUUAUGCUGACAGUAAGAACUUUUAUCCCUCUACAAAAGUCUCCAUAGUUGGAAGAGCCAAUUCGGCCAUUUACUAGAUGAAACCUACCAGUUAACAGACCCGCUCAUUUUUGUCAGGCAAACAAGAACCCUUAUAUAUCAAAGAGUAGUGGAUUUGAAUUUGUCUAAUAUGAAGUUUAUGGGCUUGGAUCAUUUAAAGUAUUUUAUAAUUCUGAAAGACAAGAUUAAACUAACUAUGUAUGAUCCUUUAGCACCGUACAGAUGGUCGAUGGGACAGUUACAUGGUUUAUAUAGAUGGACCUAUCUAUAUUCCUUCAGUGGUUGAGAACAAGGUAAAGGUGUGUCACACUCACGCGUGCGCCGCCUCCGCCGAGACGAGGCAUGGCGUUGCAGGGUGAGGCAUGGCAUGGUGCAGCACGAUCGCAGUCAUGGUCGUGGCACAGUGUAGCACUGUUGUGGAUAGAUAGAUAAACUAUUGUUGUAGUUAGAGUGCAUGAGUUUUUGAAUGCAACACUAGAAUUUUCACAAUUUAACUUAAUUAAGAAGUUAUAUCUUGAUGACACAGAGUUACCUGACCAUUGAUCUCACAUGCCCUUUUAGCUCUCUCGUACUCUAGACUUACCCUGACUAUUUAGGUCUCCUGACUCGCCAAUAUAAACACCAUCCUAUCAUUUGCUGUCGAAUACUUCUGUGUCACAACUCAACUGUCAGAUGAGUACUCCAUUACAGCACUGAGCAGGCCUCCGAAAUGAAUAUCUACUCAGAUGAAGGACGACAAUCGUGUUCUAGGGAAAUAUCAGCGACACAACUCCUUACUUCCUCCGCUUCUUCCUAGUGUUUUUUGUUGUGAUUGAGUCGACAUAGCAACAACACUGCACUAUUACAACCAGUACGACUAUAUCAACUAGCAAUGUCUUCCUUAUAUGUUACUAUUUAUUUUGCUCAUAUUCAUUAUGUUUAAAUCACAUAGGCGCCUUUAUGUUGGCAUCAAAAAAUCAGUAUCAACUUUAUAGAUUAAAAUGAAACUAAAAGUACCUAAAUUUCUAUCGGUGGGGAUCGAGUGAUUCUUUAAACCGAUUAUUACACAAGUUAACCACACUAAAAUUAACAAUGGUGAAUCGUGCCAUGAUUUUUUUCUAGUGGAAAAUAGCCAAACCAAGCAACACAUAUGUGGCUAUCGUUACACAUGUGUAAAGGUAUUGCAUCACACCAUUGUCACCCAUGUAUGUGGACAAUACCGAGAGGAAAAACCACUUAUUUAUUGUAUUUUAUCAAGUUUGUCUUGCUUACGUAUAAAUUAUAACCCAACAAAGUAAUCACUAAAUGUCAAAACCAACUAGAUACCAUGUCAUCUCUACCUUAUCUUACUAAUAUUCUUUUUGCAAAAUCCAAAAUUAAUCUUGCACAAGCACAAGGACUGAGAUGUGUAUAAAUAUCUCUUAAAUUAGUAGCUAAUAUAUCGCACAUAUUAUUGAGACCAACUAGCAACAUAGAAAGCACAAUAGUGUACCAACAAUGGCAGCCAAAAUAUUUUGCCUCCUUAUGCUCCUUGGUCUUUCUGCAAGUGCUGCUACGGCGACCAUUUUCCCGCAAUGCUCGCAAGCUCCUAUAGCUUCCCUUCUUCCCCCGUACCUCUCACCAGCGGUGUCUUCGGUAUGUGAAAACCCAAUUCUUCAACCCUACAGGAUCCAACAGGCAAUCGCAGCUGGCAUCUUACCUUUAUCACCCUUGUUCCUCCAACAAUCAUCAGCCCUAUUACAACAGUUACCUUUGGUGCAUUUAUUGGCACAAAACAUCAGGGCACAACAACUACAACAACUUGUGCUAGCAAACCUUGCUGCCUACUCUCAGCAACAGCAGUUUCUUCCAUUCAACCAACUAGGUUCAUUGAACUCUGCUUCUUAUUUGCAACAACAACAACUACCAUUCAGCCAGCUACCUGCUGCCUACCCCCAGCAAUUUCUUCCAUUCAACCAACUAGCAGCAUUGAACUCUCCUGCUUAUUUACAGCAGCAACAACUACUACCAUUCAGCCAGCUAGCUGGUGUGAGCCCUGCUACCUUCUUGACACAACCACAGUUGUUGCCGUUCUACCAGCACGUUGCGCCUAACGCUGGCACCCUCUUACAACUGCAACAAUUGCUGCCAUUCAACCAACUUGCUUUGACAAACCCAGCAGUGUUCUACCAACAACCCAUCAUUGGUGGUGCCCUCUUUUAGAUUUCUUAUGAGUUAUAGUUCAAUAAUAAAGUUUUUUAUCUGAUGUUUGUGGCUUCCCAGAAAUAAGAAAGUACAUUUCUAGAUUCUUAUGUGCUUCUAGUCUUCAAAUGUGGUUGAUAGUUAUUGUUGGGGACUUGUUCUCAAAUGCUAAGAGUUAAGAACAAGGCAACAUAAAAAUGUUAAAUGCUAAAGUCCUUCGUCCUUCGAAGCAUUAUUUCCCUUAGGAUAUAAUGAAUUUCGGACGAAGGCUAUGAAGGACAUACCUUCAUAAGCACAACGAAUGAUGAAGAAGAAUUCAUAUAAAUUAUGAGAUAUAACAUAAACAUUUAAACAUUAUUAUUAACUCAUUUCUAUUGACUUGUCAGGGAAAAAUAGAAAUGAUAAUAAAUUACAAAUAUACCUUCGGCUUGAGAGAAGGUAAAGGUACAAGCGUGAGGCAAAAGCAAAUGCCAAGUCAGCGUGAACAGUACGGGAACACUGUUCAUCUAUUUAUAGGCACGGGACGCAGCCCAUGCAAAAUUACAUCCAGGCCCUUUGCUUUUGACAAUAACUCUAUAGUAAUCUAUCUGGGUCUAGAUAGUCUUUUCCUCUUUAAGUCGGUUUCCUCUUUUCUGCCAUCAUACCGAAGCUCCCUUGCGCACAGCUUCGGCUCUGCUCCAUCCUUCGUAUUGUUUCCGUGCUUCUUCAUACCGUGGGCUCUUGUUCGAAGAUCCCUAUCCACACAUUAUACUCCAGAGGCAUUGUUAAAUCAUGUUUUUGAGGACCUUCGGAAGUCGAAGGCCCCCAACAGUAGCCCCUCGCAAUAUUAAUUUAUUAGAAUGAUAAAUUUAGAUCGCGACAUGGACGAAGGCCUUAAGCCGAAGGUCCGAAAAAACACCUUCCCUUUGCUAGAAUAGCAACAAUCAAUGACAAGCGGGGCCCUUUCCCUUGCAACACACUAGGCGUAUAAAUAAGAGCAUACCGCGAGCGGAUUUGGCACGCUUUUUGCCAUCUGCUCUUGCUCACCCAACUUUUAGCCCUUGCACACCAACACCUGCUUGGCCUUUUUUUAAAAAAAUUUAAGCUUCGGUUUCGAGAGCACUUUCUCAGCAUUUUCGAAGAUGUCUGAAGAUAAGAAAGUUGUCGCUGAGUCGAAGCUGAGACUUUCUGAGGAGAUGAAUCUCGGCUUUCUUGAAUCAAUAGCGAAGACAAAUACAGAGAAGAUUACUAGGGAGAUUUUAGAAGGUUUAUCUGAAGACACUGGUGACAGUGACAGUUAUGAUGUGGAAAGUGGUGGUGAAGAUUCCGAAGAUCGACCCUGGUGACCAAGCCAUGCAGUUUUUGGAAAAUCAAGCAUUAAACUAAGCCAUCUUGUUAAUAUGAGGGGCAGAUAUUUUCGGGAUUUAUCUAUUGUGAGGGCUGAUGAAGGAGAAAAAACUUGUCCUACUCCUGAGGAAAAUGAAGUCGUGAUAUUCCGAAGCUUCUUCAAGGCUGGGCUUCGGUUUCCUUUAAGCGGUUUCGUGGUUGAAGUUUUGAAGAUUUUUGAAAUCUACCUCCAUCAAAUUACUCCUGAAGCAAUCAUAAGGAUGGGAAUCUUCGUAUGGGCUGUGAAGAGCCAAGGUUUGGAGCCGAAUGCAAAAAGUUUCUGCAAUAUGCAUGAGCUAUUAUACGAGACGAAACCUUGGGGUAAAGAGAAAUAUCAUAACAAUUUUGGCUGCUACAGCUUCGGCGCCCGCUCUGGGUCAAGCUGUCCCGUGCCAACUUUUUGGAAGAGAUGGCCCGGGGACUCGAUGAAGGAAUGGUGUUAUGUAAAAAACGACUUGAAAACGCGAGAAGGUAUUAAAGAUAUCAUCAUGCGCCCCAUCUGGCAGCGUUUCGGCCUUCGGAAACCGAAGGUGGAUAUUGACGAAGCAACCGAAGAAUGCCAGAGGGCCUUCGGCGUAGUUUGCUCUUUCAUCGGGACAAGGGAUUUGAUCCAGGAACAUAUUUCCUUCAGAGUAUGGCCACUUGUAGAAAAGUGGGAAAUGCCGAAGGAAACCAUCAGCAAACCUGAUGAAGUGGACUAGUUAGGUUAAAAUAUACCUUCAGAUAUGGAGAUAAGUUUGUGGAGCCAGAUGAUGACUGGCUGAAAUGUAUUGAGGCCACAAGCGAUGAACUGCUUGGGCCAUAUUCGAAGACAGAAGAUACUGCACUGUCCGCGGCCUUCGGAGGUCGGAAGAAGAGACUCAACCGAGUGUUUGAUGCCAUUGGGUUCGUCUAUCCUGACUACCGUUACCCAACACAGGGUCAGAAAGGGAAAGAUACGACUUCUGUGAAGAAAGUUGCUUCAGCCGCUCCUAGUGAGCCGGCGCCGAAGAGGAAAAAGAUGAAGGUUCUUACGCACCGGCCACGCUAUAUUGAACCGGCCACAGUGCCUGAGUUUGUCGGUGAGACCUCUUCGGCCACCGAAGCCAAGGAGCCGACUCUCCUGCCGAAUAUUGAAGAGCCGGCCAAAAUGCCGGCAAUGGAAAAAAUAGAAGAACCGAGGGCUGAAGAGACAAAGACAUCGGAAAAGAAUGGUUAACGUGCUAAUGCCGAAUAUUGAAGUCCUUCAGCAAGAAUCGAGGUGCUAAUGCCAAUGCCGAUGGCACAAAAAGACCUUACGACAACCCCCAAGAGGAAAAGAAUGGUUAACGUGCUAGAUGUACUGGAAACGAUAAAAUCUUCAAGCUCUACUCCGAAGAUAGCUACUGAAGUUCCAAAGACACAAACUGAGGCCAAAGCUGCCAAAAGUCAAGCGGAAACUGAAACUGGGCUUUCAGAGCCUACCAAGAGGGAAUUCUUGGAAAUUGAAAAAGAAACGGAAAAAGAAUCUGCAGAAGAAACUUUUUCUGAGAAAAUCGUCACACAUAUUCCCGAAGCAUCUUCUGAAGCUUCUGACUAUGUAUUACGUCAUGCUUCGGGUAAAAAUCUGAGCGAAAAAGAAAAAAGAGAAGCUCAAUUCUAUGCGCAAAAAUUGAAAUAUCCAAAAGGGGCGCUGAUAUUCAACGGCAGCGGAGAAGAAGACUUCUUGUAUUGUCUCCCUCAUAGCAAGGAGAUUUCUGUCUGUCGGGAGAUGAGCAAAAGCUUCGGAUUCCCAACAUUAGAAGACGGGCUCUUGGUGUUGUCAAAGGACGAGCUAGCCGACAGCUUAGCGUAUAAUAGUUUAAAGGUGAAGAAAAUGAGAUCUUUGUAUUAUUUCUUGAAACCAAAAUUUUUCAUUUGCUUAAACUUAUUAACGCAUUUUUUUACAGGGUCUUAUACUUAGCAAUGCCCUCAGGGCACAAAAGAAUGACGAAGACGAAGGGUGCGCCAUAGCCCUGAGCAACCUUCGUUCCGAAGUAAUUGAUCUAAGGAACGAAGGUCUCGAAAAAGAUAAAAUAUUACAUUCGUUGGUGAAUAAAAUAAAAGAAGAUGAAGCUACUUUCAAAGCUCAAGCUGAGGCUCAGAAGCACGAAAUUGAGAAUCUUCGGAAACAACUAGCCAGAGCUACAGAAGAAUACACAAUUGAAGAAACAAAACGAGAAAUUAGUGAACAAUGGGCAAAUCAUUUAGAAAAAAACGUUGAAGAGCUUCGUGCGUCCAAGAAAAGGUGUUAUGAAAAAUCUAUAGAAUGUGUUAAGAAAAUAAGAACCAGCUUCACCAACGUUGGCGCGUUUUCAAGUGAAGAAAAUUUCAUGAGGGGUGACCCCGAAAGCCCAAUUGGAUGGAUCAGCCACGAAGCUGAAGCUUUUGAAUAGCCGUGGAGACAUAUGUGCCUUCUCGGGUGCCAGGGGGAUUGCCGCUGUUUUGGAGAAGAAAGGUUGCGAUCACGUGAAAUCCCUGGCACAGACCGAAGCCGUUUUAUCCUCUGAAGACAUAAAAGACCCUUCGGCCGAGGCGAGUUUGGUUGGUGGGAAAUUUUUCACCGACAUCUGGGAAAACGGUGGCCGGGAGAUGGCUCAAGAAAUUAUACGGAGAAGCGAGAAUGGUAUACAUGACGCUAGAAAAGUAGCAGAGGCCGCUGAGAAAAGUGUGGAUCUCGAAGGGCGAAUAGGUAUUAACUAGUAAUUUUUGGCUUUUUGUUGUAACCUUUUGAUUUUGAACUUGUUUACACUUUGUAACAUGGUCGCACCUUCUCCUCCCUCAGAGCCUGCCGAGCCAUCGACAGACCCCCACGUAAAGGGGGAUGACGAGAUUAGAAGAAUGGCUGAAGCUAUCAUGGACAAAGUUGUUGAUCAAUUACUAAACGAAGCUGCAGAAAUAGUUCUAAGGGAAGAUUAGAUGUUAUUGUAAAAACAUUUGGAAUGUAAUAUUUGUUGAACAAUAUGUGUAAUAUUUUGUAACUUUGAAUGUAAUAUAUAAUCUAUUUGUGGUUCAAUUCUUUACGAUGCAUGAAACUUUACAUACAUACCGUUUUUGAGCCUUCGGCGAAAAAACACCUUCCCUUCUUUUCAUGCUUCGUAAAUAAUAUCCGUAUAUCAUAAAAACAUCCAAUUUUCGUAAAAUCAGUAACCAAUAGAUCUUUUUAUUUCAUAAAAACAUCCAAUCUUCGUAAAAUCAGUAACCAAUCUUCGUAAAGGCAUGCUUCUUCAAUAAUUAUUUUUGUGCCUUGGCACUGUUUCUUCGAAACAAUCUCCGAAUAUCAACAUUGAAACCCCCUUCUUGCGUCAUUGAUGCAAUAUGAUGUAUGAUGUUAUGCUAUGCAAAUGAUGUGAUGAUGUGAUGUUAUGCAAAAUGAUAUUUGCCGAAGAUCAACGUUUAUUUUUCACUGCAAGCCUCCCUUAGGAGCUUCUUCGCCUUUUACUUCAGCGGAAUCAGCAUUUAUUUUUCGCUGUAAGCCUCCCUUAGGAGCUUCUUCGCCUUUUACUUUCAGCGGAAUCAGCGUUUAUUUUUUGCUGUAAGCCUCCCUUAGGAGCUUCUUCGCCUUUUACUUUCAGCGGAAUCAGCGUUUAUUUUUCGCUGUAAGCUCUGCAUUCCCUUCGGAACGACUUUUGAGCAGAAAACUUACGCUGCGCUCCCUUAGGAACGACUUUUUGUUAUUUCGGAGAUUCUCCUUGUAACCAUAAAUUCUUAUGCUUCGGCAACUCUGUUAUUUUGUGGAGAAGGUAUAUUUUUACUGUGGCGAAAACGAAGCUAUUACAAGAAAUUGAAAACGACAAAAAGCACUUAGGCUUUCAAUAAUUGUUCCUUAUUAAAAAGAAAAUGAUACUGAAUGUAAAAACUACUGCCGAGGUAGGAUAUUUGUUAGUAAAUAUGCUUCGAUUCUGGCACAGUACUAUUGACUGUGCGAGCUUCGGACUCUUCUCUAAAGUCCCGUUGAAGGUGGAUAUGCUGACUCCCUUCUGGCUGCUGGCUUUGUUGCAUUGGUGGUGGAGGUGGAGGCUGCUGCCAAGAUGCCUGAGGUUGGCUUGCCGAAGCAACAGAAGCUGCAGGGUGGUUGCCUACAUACUCUGGAAUGUAAGGCGAAUGGUAUGAAGCAGUGUGCAUAACUUGCUUCGGCUGGCUCUGUUGGGCUGCAGCUUCUGCUAUCUCCUUUUGUUUCUGGAUGGUAACAUGGCACAUCCUGGUGGUAUGGCCCUUGUCCUCUCCACAGAAUAGGCAAUAGAUCUUCCUGGGCUGAUCCCCAAAUCUUCCUCCGAAGCCCCUGGCACCUCUACCCCUUGGAGCUGGAGGCCGAGGAUAGCUCUGCUGCUGCCCCGAAGCCUGGGAGGAAUAUUGCGGCCUCUGCUGCUGGCUUCCCCUGUCAUCAUUCUGAGUGUUAUGAAUCGAUCUGACAUGUCUAGGGUGAACUCUCCCUCCGAAGCCACUGGCUAUUUUGGAGAACCUGUAAGCUUCCUCCCUUCUCUAUCGGAAGUCGUUGUCAGCGCGGAUGUAUUCGUCCAUCUUCUGAAGCAGUUUCUCCAGAGUCUGAGGGGGCUUCCUGGCAAAGUACUGGGCUGAAGGUCCUGGCCGAAGCCCCUUAAUCAUGGCCUCAAUGACAAUUUCAUUGGGCACUGUUGGUGCUUGUGCCCUCAGGCGUAAGAACCUUCGGACAUACGCCUGAAGAUAUUCUCCGUGGUCUUGGGUGCACUGGAAUAAGUCUUGAGCGGUGACCGGCUUCGUUUGAAACCCUUAGAAACUGGUGAUCAGCAUAUCCUUCAGCUUCUGCCAUGAUGUGAUUGUUCCUGGCCGAAGGGAGGAGUACCAGGUUUGUGCAACAUUCUUGACGGCCAUGACGAAAGACUUCGCCAUGACUGCAAUAUUGCCACCAUAGGAAGAUAUCGUUGCUUCGUAGCUCAUCAGAAACUGCUUCAGAUCUGAGUGUCCGUUGUACAUGGGGAGUUGAGGUGGCUUGUAAGACGGAGGCCAAGGUGUAGCCUGCAGUUCUGGUGAUAGAGGAGAAGCAUCGUCAAAAGCAAAAUUUCCAUGAUGGAAAUCCUCAUACCAGUCAUCCUCGUUGACGAAGCCCUCUUGGUGGAGCUCUCUGUACUGGGGCCUCCGGUUCUAUUCAUCUUGCGUAAGAUGACGAACCUCUUUAGAGGCUUUGUCUAUCUGCCUUUGUAGGUCAGCUAGCCGGGCCAUCUUUUCUUUCUUCUUUUGCACUUGUUGAUGCAGCAUUUCCAUGUUCCUGAUUUCUUGGUCCAAAUCGUCCUCCUGAGGCGUUGGACUGGUGGCCUUCCUCUUCUGGCUUCGGGCUUCCCGAAGAGAGAGAGUCUCCUGGUUCGUGUCCAGCGGCUGCAGAGCCGCAGCCCCUGUUGCUGAAGCUUUCUUUGGCGGCAUGACAAAGGUCGAUGCUUGCCGAAGGUGUUCGAAACUCAAAAAGUGGAAGUGAGUUCACCGGAGGUGGGCACUAAUGUUGGGGACUUGUUCUCAAAUGCUAAGAGUUAAGAACAAGGAAACAUAAAAAUGUUAAAUGCUAAAGUCCUUAGUCCUUCGAAGCAUUAUUUCCCUUAGGAUAUAAUGAAUUUCGGACGAAGGUUAUGAAGGACAUACCUUCAUAAGCACAACGAAUGAUGAAGAAGAAUUCAUAUAAAUUAUGAGAUAUAACAUAAACAUUUAAACAUUAUUAUUAACUCAUUUCUAUUGACUUGUCAGGGAAAAAUAGAAAUGAUAAUAAAUUACAAAUAUACCUUCGGCUUGAGAGAAGGUAAAGGUACAAGCGUGAGGCAAAAGCAAAUGCCAAGUCAGCGUGAAUAGUACGGGAACACUGUUCAUCUAUUUAUAGGCACGGGACGCAGCCCAUGCAAAAUUACAUCCAGGCCCUUUGCUUUUGACAAUAACUCUAUAGUAAUCUAUCUGGGUCUAGAUAGUCUUUUCCUCUUUAAGUCGGUUUCCUCUUUUCUGCCAUCAUGCCGAAGCUCCCUUGCGCACAACUUCUGCUCUGCUCCAUCCUUCGUAUUGUUUCCGUGCUUCUUCAUACCAUGGGCUCUUGUUCGAAGAUCCCUGUCCACACAUUAUACUCCAGAGGCAUUGCUAAAUCAUGUUUUUGAGGACCUUCGGAAGCCGAAGGCCCCCAACAGUUAUUUUGCUCUAAGAUCGGCAGUAAUGAAGUAUAAAUCAUCGUUGUGGUGUGCUACUCGGUUAAUUGAGCAUUAACACACACAAACAUGACGAGGAUGGUAUAAUCUCCAAAAAUGUGUACUUUGUUAGGUGGGACCCUAUAGCCUUGCAGAAUGUGCUAUGUUAGGCAUGCCUGGAAACGUGUGACGCAUACGUUUUGUGAACCUGUUCAUAUUAUAUGUGCUUUUAUAUUAUCGUAUUUUAUUAAAAUACUAAUAUUUAUUACUAGUAAGAUAUAACAUUCUAUCUAGCUUAAAAACUAACCAUAAAUAUUCCAUAAUAACUAGAUUUACCAAACUAAUAUACUAAAUAUACAUAAUAAAUACAAAAUUAACAAGACAAUAAUCAAUAUUUAUGAGCUUAAUAUAUUUAGACAUUAUGGUUGGUCGACGAUAAUCAUGCUAACUUUCCGUAAUUGCUUGAUUGUAAAUAUGCUUAGAAUAAUGCCUCUUUGUUCUACAUGGCAAAUAGGGACCAUUAUGGUGUAACACCCUGGGAUCCACAAACACCCUGAAAUGCUACUAAACUACACAACUAACCUUCAUAUAUUAAAUUUCGACAGCAUCUCCUUUGAAAAUUUGUAUAAACGUGGAAGCAACAGAGUAUAAACAGAUAUGAUGAUAAGGAAACAUAAUAGACAUUAAUAAUCUGCUAGAAAUGGGAAGAUAACCAUAACGACAUAAACUGAAUUAACUAGUGUGCACGGCAUGUUAAAAACAAACAUCGUUGACAAGAAGUUUCUAAUUAAAUCAUGGCUGUGCCUAGGCAGCGUUAUUAUAUGAGUGAAGGUGGACGUGAUGCUACUUCCCUCAUUCCCAACAUGAAUCAAGUACCUGUAUUGAGUAAUGCAAGAGUGAGAUGAAAACAUCUCAGCAAGUAAAUUGUUUUGACGAGAUAUUUAAACCAAAAAAAUUUGAUUUAAUCAACAUUUUAAAGGGAUCACAAUUGAGAUCAGACAUACUUGUAGAUAUAAAACUCAAUAGUCCCAAAAUAACCAAUGCCAUCUCAUUUCCACAAACAACCACAAUAGGUUGUAUAACACUUCCCUGCGUCAUCAAUACCUGCAAAUAUCACUUCAAUGUAUGCAUAGGAAUGCAAUGUUUAAGUCCUCUGCAUUCAUACUUCUUAGAGUAUAAAACCACACCAUCUGCAAAUAUCACUUCAAUGAAUGCAUAUGAAUGCAAUGCAUAUGUCCUCUGCCUUCAUACCUCUAAGGGUAUGAAGACGCAUCGUACCCCUCCUCGGGCAACGUACGAUGCUAAGUUGUACCGGUACGGUCGGACCAUAGGUCACGACAAAACUUCAGAUGCAAGUGAAUCAUGACAUGUAUAUGGCAUGCUGCAUUUAUCAAUAUACUACACUUCCUUCACAUACAAUACAAACCUCAAAUAAUACUUCGUUUACCUUCAGAUACAAUACAAACCUCAAAUAAUACUUCAUUCACCUUCAGGGGUGUUUAUUAAUCUCGUGGGUCAUACUCAAAUCAUCAUCAUCAUCAAUGAUGUUUAAGCAUCAGUAUAAUACAAUCAAGUAAAGCAUCACCAUAGAGUUCAAUUAUGAAAGAAUUCGAUGAUUCUGAAUAUUAGAGUGUAUGCGAUGAAACAACAAAGUCAAAACGGUAGCAACCACCGCUACAUUCACUUGCCUUCAUCGAAGAAGAAAAAGGUACUAGGCAUGAUUCGGAGUGUAGACACCUGCUGUGGGGCUUAAAACUUAGUACAAAUAUUCCACAAACAUUUGCCAACAACUAACAAAUCGCUCCUACACUUGUAACCAAGACCCGGUGGAAUGACUCCCACCCUGAACCACAUGUCAAACAGCAGGAGUGCUGUUUGUUAAUUUUGUAUCUUUAAAAUUAUAACAGUGGUGAUAUCAAACAAAUACUCUAGAAGUUUCUACACAAAAUACUCUACAACUUCGGUAUUCAAUGGAUAAUUAAAUUUUGCCAUCUAUAAGUUCUAAAACAUCUGACAAGAUAACUGACAGAAUCUGUUUCAGACAGCAGCAUAGUUAACUUCAAAAUUCGAUAUCUCCCAAACUCCUCAACCAAAAUUUAUGAAAUUAUGUUGACAGUAAGAACUUUUAUCCCUCUACAAAAGUCUCCAUAGUUGGAAGAGCCAAUUCGGCCAUUUACUAGAUGAAACCUACCAUUUAACAGACCCGCUCAUUUUUGUCAGGCAAACAAGAACCCUUAUAUAUCAAAGAGUAGUGGAUUUGAAUUUGUCUAAUAUGAAGUUUAUGGGCUUGGAUCAUUUAAAGUAUUUUAUAAUUCUGAAAGACAAGAUUAAACUAACUAUGUAUGAUCCUUUAGCACCGUACAGAUGGUCGAUGGGACAGUUACAUGGUUUAUAUAGAUGGACAUAUCUAUAUUCCUUCAGUGGUUGAGAAAAAGGUAAAGGUGUGUCACACUCACGCGUGCACUGCCUCCGCCGAGACGAGGCAUGGCGUUGCAAGGUGAGGCAUGGCAUGGUGCAGCACGAUCGUAUACAUGGUCGUGGCACAGUGUAGCACUGUUGUGGAUAGAUAGAUAAACUUUUGUUGUAGUUAGAGUGCAUGAGUUUUUGAAUGCAACACAAGAAUUUUCACAAUUUAACUUAAUUAAGAAGUUAUAUCUUGAUGACACAGAGUUACCUGACCAUUGAUCUCACAUGCCCUUUUAGCUCUCUCGUUCUCUAGACUCACCCUGACUAUUUAGGUCUCCUGACUCGCCAAUAUAAACACCAUCCUAUCAUUUGCUCUCGAAUACUUCUGUGUCACAACUCAACUGUCAGAUGAGUACUCCAUUACAGCACUGAGCAGGCCUCCGAAAUGAAUAUCUACUCAGAUGAAGGACGACAAUCGUGUUCUAGGGAAAUAUCAGCGACACAACUCCUUACUUCCUCCGCUUCUUCCUAGUGUUUUUUGUUGUGAUUGAGUCGACAUAGCAACAACACUGCACUAUUACAACCAGUACGACUAUAUCAACUAGCAAUGUCUUCCUUAUAUGUUACUAUUUAUUUUGCUCAUAUUCAUUAUGUUUAAAUCACAUAGGCGCCUUUAUGUUGGCAUCAAAAAAUCAGUAUCAACUUUAUAGAUUAAAAUGAAACUAAAAGUACCUAAAUUUCUAUCGGUGGGGAUCGAGUGAUUCUUUAAACCGAUUAUUACACAAGUUAACCACACUAAAAUUAACAAUGGUGAAUCGUGCCAUGAUUUUUUUCUAGUGGAAAAUAGCCAAACCAAGCAACACAUAUGUGGCUAUCGUUACACAUGUGUAAAGGUAUUGCAUCACACCAUUGUCACCCAUGUAUUUGGACAAUACCGAGAGGAAAAACCACUUAUUUAUUGUAUUAUAUCAAGUUUGUCUUGCUUACGUAUAAAUUAUAACCCAACAAAGUAAUCACUAAAUGUCAAAACCAACUAGAUACCAUGUCAUCUCUACCUUAUCUUACUAAUAUUCUUUUUGCAAAAUCCAAAAUUAAUCUUGCACAAGCACAAGGACUGAGAUGUGUAUAAAUAUCUCUUAAAUUAGUAGCUAAUAUAUCGCACAUAUUAUUGAGACCAACUAGCAACAUAGAAAGCACAAUAGUGUACCAACAAUGGCAGCCAAAAUAUUUUGCCUCCUUAUGCUCCUUGGUCUUUCUGCAAGUGCUGCUACGGCGACCAUUUUCCCGCAAUGCUCGCAAGCUCCUAUAGCUUCCCUUCUUCCCCCGUACCUCUCACCAGCGGUGUCUUCGGUAUGUGAAAACCCAAUUCUUCAACCCUACAGGAUCCAACAGGCAAUCACAGCUGGCAUCUUACCUUUAUCACCCUUGUUCCUCCAACAAUCAUCAGCCCUAUUACAUCAGUUACCUUUGGUGCAUUUAUUGGCACAAAACAUCAGGGCACAACAACUACAACAACUUGUGCUAGCAAACCUUGCUGCCUACUCUCAGCAACAGCAGUUUCUUCCAUUCAACCAACUAGCUGCAUUGAACUCUGCUUCUUAUUUGCAACAACAACAACUACCAUUCAGCCAGCUACCUGCUGCCUACCCCCAGCAAUUUCUUCCAUUCAACCAACUGGCAGCAUUGAACUCUCCUGCUUAUUUACAGCAGCAACAACUACUACCAUUCAGCCAGCUAGCUGGUGUGAGCCCUGCUACCUUCUUGAUACAACCACAGUUGUUGCCGUUCUACCAGCACGCUGCGCCUAACGCUGGCACCCUCUUACAACUGCAACAAUUGCUGCCAUUCAACCAACUUGCUUUGACAAACCCAGCAGCGUUCUACCAACAACCCAUCAUUGGUGGUGCCCUCUUUUAGAUUUCUUAUGAGUUAUAGUUCAAUAAUAAAGUUUUUUGUCUGAUGUUUGUGGCUUCCCAGAAAUAAGAAAGUACAUUUCUAGAUUCUUAUGUGCUUCUAGUCUCCAAAUGUGGUUGAUAGUUAUUUUGCUCUAAGAUCGACAGUAAUGAAGUAUAAAUCAUCGUUGUGGUGUGCUACUCGGUUAAUUGAGCAUUAACACACACAAACAUGACGAGGAUGGUAUAAUCUCCAAAAAUAUGUACUUUGUUAGGUGGGACCCUAUAGCCUUGCAUAAUGUGCUAUGUUAGGCAUGCCUGGAAACGUGUGACGCAUAUGUUUUGUGAACCUGUUGAUAUUAUAUGUGCUUUUAUAUUACCAUAUUUUAUUAAAAUACUAAUAUUUAUUACUAGUAAGAUAUAACAUUCUAUCUAGCUUAAAAACUAACCAUAAAUAUUCCAUAAUAACUAGAUUUACCAAACUAAUAUACUAAAUAUACAUAAUAAAUACAAAAUUAACAAGACAAUAAUCAAUAUUUAUGAGCUUAAUAUAUUUAGACAUUAUGGUUGGUCGACCAUAAUCAUGCUAACUUUUCGUACUUGCUUGAUUGUAAAUAUGCUUAGAAUAAUGCCUCUUUGUUCUACAUGGCAAAUAGGGACCAUUAUGGUGUAACACCCUGGGAACCACAAACACCCCGAAAUGCUACUAAACUACACAACUAACCUUCAUAUAUAAAAUUUCGACAGCAUCUCCUUUGAAAAUUUGCAUAAACGUGGAAGCAACAGAGUAUAAACAGAUAUCAUGAUAAGGAAACAUACUAGACAUUAAUAAUCUGCUAGAAAUGGGAAGAUAACCAUAACGACAUAAACUGAAUUAACUAGUGUGCACAACUUGUUUAAAACAAACAUCAUUGACAAGAAGUUUCUAAUUAAAUCAUGGCUGUGCCUGGGUAGCGUUAUUAUGAGAGUGAAGGUGGACGUGAUGCUACUUCCCUCAUUCCCAACAUGAAUCAAGUACCUGCAUUGAGUAAUGCAAGAGUGAGAUGAAAACAUCUCAGCAAGUAAAUUGUUUUGACGAGAUAUUUAAAGCAAAAAAAUUUGAUUUACUCAACAUUUUAAAGGGAUCACAAUUGAGAUCAGAAAUACUUGUAGAUAUAGAACUCAAUAGUCCCAAAAUAACCAGUGCCAUCUCAUUUCCUCAAACAACCACAAUAGGUUGUAUAACACUUCCCUGCGUCAUCAAUACCUGCAAAUAUCACUUCAAUGUAUGCAUAGGAAUGCAAUGUUUAAGUCCUCUGCAUUCAUACUUCUUAGAGUAUAAAACCACACCAUCUGCAAAUAUCACUUCAAUGAAUGCAUAUGAAUGCAAUGCAUAUGUCCUCUGCCUUCAUACCUCUAAGGGUAUGAAGCCGAAUCGUACCCCUCCUCGGGCAACGUACGAUGCUAAGUUGUACCGUUACGGUCGGACCAUAGGUCACGACAAAACUUCAUAUGCAAGUGAAUCAUGACAUGUAUAUGGCUUGCUGCAUUUAUCAAUAUACUUCACUUCCUUCAUAUACAAUACAAACCUCAAAUAAUACUUCGUUUACCUUCAGAUACAAUACAAACCUCAAAUAAUACUUCAUUCACCUUCAGGGGUGUUUAUUAAUCUCGUGGGUCAUACUCGAAUCAUCAUCAUCAUCAAUGAUGAUUAAGCAUCAGUAUAAUACAAUCAAGUAAAGCAUCACCAUAGAGUUCAAUUAUGAAAGAAUUCGAUGAUUCUGAAUAUUAGAGUGUAUGCGAUGAAACAACAACGUCAAAACGGUAGCAACCACCGCUACAUUCACUUGCCUUCAUCGAAGAAGAAAAACAUACUAGGCAUGAUUCAGAGUGUAGACACCUGCUGUGGGGCUUAAAACUUAGUACAAAUAUUCCACAAACAUUUGCCAACAAUUAACAAAUCGCUCCUACACUUGAAACCAAGACCCGGUGGAAUGACUCCCACCCUGAACCACAUGCCAAACAAUAGUAGUGUUGUUUGUUAAUUUUGUAUCUUUAAAAUUAUAACAGUGGUGAUAUCAAACAAAUACUCCAGAAGUUUCUACACAAAAUACUCUACAACUUUGGUAUUCAAUGGAUAAUUAAAUUUUGCCAUCUAUAAGUUCUAAAACAUCUGAUAAGAUAACUGACUGAAUUUGUUUCAGACAACAGCAUAGUUAACUUCAAAAUUCGAUAUCUCCCAAACUCCUCAACCAAAAAUUAUGAAAUUAUUCUGACAGUAAGAACUUUUUUCCCUCUACAAAAGUAUCUAUAGUUGGAAGAGCCAAUUCGGCCAUUUACUAGAUGAAACCUACCAGUUAACAGACCCGCUCAUUUUUGUCAGGCAAACAAGAACCCUUAUAUAUCAAAGAGUAGUGGAUUUGAAUUUGUCUAAUAUGAAGUUUAUGGGCUUGGAUCAUUUAAAGUAUUUUAUAAUUCUGAAAGACAAGAUUAAACUAACUAUGUAUGAUCCUUUAGCACUGUACAGAUGGUCGAUGGGACAGUUACAUGGUUUAUAUAGAUGGACCUAUCUAUAUUCCUUCAGUGGUUGAGAAAAAGGUAAAGGUGUGUCACACUCACGUGUGCGCCGCCUCUACCGAGAUGAGGCAUGGCGUUGCAAGGUGAGGCAUGGCAUGGUGCAGCACGAUCGUAUACAUGGUCGUGGCACAGUGUAGCACUGUUGUGGAUAGAUAGAUAAACUUUUGUUGUAGUUAGAGUGCAUGAGUUUUUGAAUGCAACACAAGAAUUUUCACAAUUUAACUUAAUUAAGAAGUUAUAUCUUGAUGACACAGAGUUACCUGACCAUUGAUCUCACAUGCCCUUUUAGCUCUCUCGUUCUCUAGACUCACCCUGACUAUUUAGGUCUCCUGACUCGCCAAUAUAAACACCAUCCUAUCAUUUGCUCUCGAAUACUUCUGUGUCACAACUCAACUGUCAGAUGAGUACUCCAUUACAGCACUGAGCAGGCCUCCGAAAUGAAUAUCUACUCAGAUGAAGGACGACAAUCGUGUUCUAGGGAAAUAUCGGUGACACAACUCCUUACUUCCUCCGCUUCUUCCUAGUGUUUUUUGUUGUGAUUGAGUCGACACAGCAACAACACUGCACUAUUACAACCAGUACGACUAUAUUAACUAGCAAUGUCUUCCUUAUAUGUUACUAUUUAUUUUGCUCAUAUUCAUUAUGUUUAAAUCACAUAGGCACCUUUUUGUUGGCAUCAAAAAAUUAGUAUCAACUUUCUAGAUUAAAGUGAAACUAAAAGUACCUAAAUUUCUAUCGGUGGGGAUCGAGUGAUUCUUUAAACCAAUUAUUACGCAAGUUAACCACACUAAAAUUAACAUUGGUGAACCGUGCCAUGAUUUUUUCUAAUGGAAAAUAGCCAAACCAAGCAACACAUAUGUGGCUAUCGUUACACAUGUGUAAAGGUAUUGCAUCACACCAUUGUCACCCAUGUAUUUGGACAAUACCGAGAGGAAAAACCACUUAUUUAUUGUAUUUUAUCAAGUUUGUCUUGCUUACGUAUAAAUUAUAACCCAACAAAGUAAUCACUAAAUGUCAAAACCAACUAGAUACCAUGUCAUCUCUACCUUAUCUUACUAAUAUUCUUUUUGCAAAAUCCAAAAUUAAUCUUGCACAAGCACAAGGACUGAGAUGUGUAUAAAUAUCUCUUAAAUUAGUAGCUAAUAUAUCACACAUAUUAUUGAGACCAACUAGCAACAUAGAAAGCACAAUAGUGUACCAACAAUGGCAGCUAAAAUAUUUUGCCUCCUUAUGCUCCUUGGUCUUUCUGCAAGUGCUGCUACGGCGACCAUUUUCCCACAAUGCUCACAAGCUCCUAUAGCUUCCCUUCUUCCCCCGUACCUCUCACCAACGGUGUCUUCGGUAUGUGAAAACCCAAUUCUUCAACCCUACAGGAUCCAACAGGCAAUCGCAGCUGGCAUCUUACCUUUAUCACCCUUGUUCCUCCAACAAUCAUCAGCCCUAUUACAGCAGUUACCUUUGGUGCAUUUAUUGGCACAAAACAUCAGGGCACAACAACUACAACAACUUGUGCUAGCAAACCUUGCUGCCUACUCUCAGCAACAGCAGUUUCUUCCAUUCAACCAACUAGCUGCAUUGAACUCUGCUUCUUAUUUGCAACAACAACAACUACCAUUCAGCCAGCUAUCUGCUGCCUACCCCCAGCAAUUUCUUCCAUUCAACCAACUGACAGCAUUGAACUCUCCUGCUUAUUUACAGCAGCAACAACUACUACCAUUCAGCCAGCUAGCUGGUGUGAGCCCUGCUACCUUCUUGACACAACCACAGUUGUUGCCGUUCUACCAGCACGCUGCGCCUAACGCUGGCACCCUCUUACAACUGCAACAAUUGCUGCCAUUCAACCAACUUGCUUUGACAAACCCAGCAGCAUUCUACCAACAACCCAUCAUUGGUGGUGCCCUCUUUUAGAUUUCUUAUGAGUUAUAGUUCAAUAAUAAAGUUUUUUGUCUGAUGUUUGUGGCUUCCCAGAAAUAAGAAAGUACAUUUCUAGAUUCUUAUGUGCUUCUAGUCUCCAAAUGUGGUUGAUAGUUAUUUUGCUCUAAGAUCAACAGUAAUGAAGUAUAAAUCAUCGUUGUGGUGUGCUACUCGGUUAAUUGAGCAUUAACACACACAAACAUGACGAGGAUGGUAUAAUCUCCAAAAAUGUGUACUUUGUUAGGUGGGACCCUAUAGCCUUGAUUAAUGUGCUAUGUUAGGCAUGCCUGGAAACGUGUGACGCAUAUGUUUUGUGAACCUGUUGAUAUUAUAUGUGCUUUUAUAUUACCAUAUUUUAUUAAAAUACUAAUAUUUAUUACUAGUAAGAUAUAACAUUCUAUCUAGCUUAAAAACUAACCAUAAAUAUUCCAUAAUAACUAGAUUUACCAAACUAAUAUACUAAAUAUACAUAAUAAAUACAAAAUUAACAAGACAAUAAUCAAUAUUUAUGAGCUUAAUAUAUUUAGACAUUAUGGUUGGUCGACGAUAAUCAUGCUAACUUUUCGUAAUUGCUUGAUUGUAAAUAUGCUUAGAAUAAUGCCUCUUUGUUCUACAUGGCAAAUAGGGACCAUUAUGGUGUAACACCCUGGGAACCACAAACACCCCGAAAUGCUACUAAACUACACAACUAACCUUCAUAUAUAAAAUUUCGACAGCAUCUCCUUUGAAAAUUUGCAUAGACGUGGAAGCAACAGAGUAUAAACAGAUAUCAUGAUAAGAAAACAUACUAGACAUUAAUAAUCUGCUAGAAAUGGGAAGAUAACCAUAACGACAUAAACUGAAUUAACUAGUGUGCACAACUUGUUAAAAACAAACAUCGUUGACAAGAAGUUUCUAAUUAAAUCAUGGUUGUGCCUGGGCAGCGUUAUUAUGAGAGUGAAGGUGGACGUGAUGCUACUUCCCUCAUUCCCAACAUGAAUCAAGUACCUGCAUUGAGCAAUGCAAGAGUGAGAUGAAAACAUCUCAGCAAGUAAAUUGUUUUGACGAGAUAUUUAAACCAAAAAAAUUUGAUUUACUCAACAUUUUAAAGGGAUCACAAUUGAGAUCAGAAAUACUUGUAGAUAUAGAACUCAAUAGUCCCAAAAUAACCAGUGCCAUCUCAUUUCCUCAAACAACCACAAUAGGUUGUAUAACACUUCCCUGCGUCAUCAAUACCUGCAAAUAUCACUUCAAUGUAUGCAUAGGAAUGCAAUGUUUAAGUCCUCUGCAUUCAUACUUCUUAGAGUAUAAAACCACACCAUCUGCAAAUAUCACUUCAAUGAAUGCAUAUGAAUGCAAUGCAUAUGUCCUCUGCCUUCAUACCUCUAAGGGUAUGAAGCCGAAUCGUACCCCUCCUCGGGCAACGUACGAUGCUAAGUUGUACCGGUACGGUCGGACCAUAGGUCACGACAAAACUUCAUAUGCAAGUGAAUCAUGACAUGUAUAUGGCUUGCUGCAUUUAUCAAUAUACUUCACUUCCUUCAUAUACAAUACAAACCUCAAAUAAUACUUCGUUUACCUUCAGAUACAAUACAAACCUCAAAUAAUACUUCAUUCACCUUCAGGGGUGUUUAUUAAUCUCGUGGGUCAUACUCGAAUCAUCAUCAUCAUCAAUGAUGAUUAAGCAUCAGUAUAAUACAAUCAAGUAAAGCAUCACCAUAGAGUUCAAUUAUGAAAGAAUUCGAUGAUUCUGAAUAUUAGAGUGUAUGCGAUGAAACAACAACGUCAAAACGGUAGCAACCACCGCUACAUUCAUUUGCCUUCAUCGAAGAAGAAAAAUGUACUAGGCAUGAUUCAGAGUGUAGACACCUGCUGUGGGGCUUAAAACUUAGUACAAAUAUUCCACAAACAUUUGCCAACAAUUAACAAAUCGCUCCUACACUUGAAACCAAGACCCGGUGGAAUGACUCCCACCCUGAACCACAUGCCAAACAAUAGUAGUGCUGUUUGUUAAUUUUGUAUCUUUAAAAUUAUAACAGUGGUGAUAUCAAACAAAUACUCUAGAAGUUUCUACACAAAAUACUCUACAACUUCGGUAUUCAAUGGAUAAUUAAAUUUUGCCAUCUAUAAGUUCUAAAACAUCUGAUAAGAUAACUGACUGAAUUUGUUUCAGACAGCAGCAUAGUUAACUUCAAAAUUCGAUAUCUCCCAAACUCCUCAACCAAAAAUUAUGAAAUUAUGCUGACAGUAAGAACUUUUUGUCCCUCUACAAAAGUAUCUAUAGUUGGAAGAGCCAAUUCGGCCAUUUACUAGAUGAAACCUACCAGUUAACAGACCCGCUCAUUUUUGUCAGGCAAACAAGAACCCUUAUAUAUCAAAGAGUAGUGGAUUUGAAUUUGUCUAAUAUGAAGUUUAUGGGCUUGGAUCAUUUAAAGUAUUUUAUAAUUCUGAAAGACAAGAUUAAACUAACUAUGUAUGAUCCUUUAGCACCGUACAGAUGGUCGAUGGGACAGUUACAUGGUUUAUAUAGAUGGACCUAUCUAUAUUCCUUCAGUGGUUGAGAAAAAGGUAAAGGUGUGUCACACUCACGUGUGCGCCGCCUCUGCCGAGAUGAGGCAUGGCGUUGCAAGGUGAGGCAUGGCAUGGUGCAGCACGAUCGCAGUCAUGGUCGUGGCACAGUGUAGCACUGUUGUGGAUAGAUAGAUAAACUAUUGUUGUAGUUAGAGUGCAUGAGUUUUUGAAUGCAACACUAGGAUUUUCACAAUUUAACUUAAUUAAGAAGUUAUAUCUUGAUGACACAGAGUUACCUGACCAUUGAUCUCACAUGCCCUUUUAGCUCUCUUGUUCUCUAGACUCACCCUGACUAUUGAGGUCUCUUGACUCGCCAAUAUAAACACCAUCCUAUCAUUUGCUCUCGAAUACUUUUGUGUCACAACUCAACUGUCAGAUGAGUACUCCAUUACAGCACUGAGCAGGCCUCCGAAAUGAAUAUCUACUCAGAUGAAGGACGACAAUCGUGUUCUAGGGAAAUAUCAGUGACACAACUCCUUACUUCCUCUGCUUCUUCCUAGUGUUUUUUGUUGUGAUUGAGUCGACACAGCAACAACACUGCACUAUUACAACCAGUACGACUAUAUUAACUAGCAAUGUCUUCCUUAUAUGUUACUAUUUAUUUUGCUCAUAUUCAUUAUGUUUAAAUCACAUAGGCACCUUUUUGUUGGCAUCAAAAAAUUAGUAUCAACUUUCUAGAUUAAAGUGAAACUAAAAGUACCUAAAUUUCUAUCGGUGGGGAUCGAGUGAUUCUUUAAACCGAUUAUUACACAAGUGAACCACACUAAAAUUAACAUUGGUGAAUCGUGCCAUGAUUUUUUCUAGUGGAAAAUAGCCAAACCAAGCAACACAUAUGUGGCUAUCGUUACACAUGUGUAAAGGUAUUGCAUCACACCAUUGUCACCCAUGUAUUUGGACAAUACCGAGAGGAAAAACCACUUAUUUAUUGUAUUUUAUCAAGUUUGUCUUGCUUACGUAUAAAUUAUAACCCAACAAAGUAAUCACUAAAUGUCAAAACCAACUAGAUACCAUGUCAUCUCUACCUUAUCUUACUAAUAUUCUUUUUGCAAAAUCCAAAAUUAAUCUUGCACAAGCACAAGGACUGAGAUGUGUAUAAAUAUCUCUUAAAUUAGUAGCUAAUAUAUCACACAUAUUAUUGAGACCAACUAGCAACAUAGAAAGCACAAUAGUGUACCAACAAUGGCAGCCAAAAUAUUUUGCCUCCUUAUGCUCCUUGGUCUUUCUGCAAGUGCUGCUACGGCGACCAUUUUCCCACAAUGCUCACAAGCUCCUAUAGCUUCCCUUCUUCCCCCGUACCUCUCACCAGCGGUGUCUUCGGUAUGUGAAAACCCAAUUCUUCAACCCUAUAGGAUCCAACAGGCAAUCGCAGCUGGCAUCUUACCUUUAUCACCCUUGUUCCUCCAACAAUCAUCAGCCCUAUUACAGCAGUUACCUUUGGUGCAUUUAUUGGCACAAAACAUCAGGGCACAACAACUACAACAACUUGUGCUAGCAAACCUUGCUGCCUACUCUCAGCAACAACAGUUUCUUCCAUUCAACCAACUAGCUGCAUUGAACUCUGCUUCUUAUUUGCAACAACAACAACUACCAUUCAGCCAGCUAUCUGCUGCCUACCCCCAGCAAUUUCUUCCAUUCAACCAACUGACAGCUUUGAACUCUCCUGCUUAUUUACAGCAGCAACAACUACUACCAUUCAGCCAGCUAGCUGGUGUGAGCCCUGCUACCUUCUUGACACAACCACAAUUGUUGCCGUUCUACCAGCACGCUGCGCCUAACGCUGGCACCCUCUUACAACUGCAACAAUUGCUGCCAUUCA
RNAcentral lists this long non-coding RNA (61284 nucleotides) under Zea mays. Its description in RNAcentral is "long non-coding RNA (ZMAY_LNC002145)". Lineage: Eukaryota; Viridiplantae; Streptophyta; Magnoliopsida; Poales; Poaceae. The record is from RNAcentral.